RNAcentral lists this long non-coding RNA (65514 nucleotides) under Prunus persica (peach). RNAcentral's name for it is "long non-coding RNA (PPER_LNC002934)". The record is from RNAcentral. Lineage: Eukaryota; Viridiplantae; Streptophyta; Magnoliopsida; Rosales; Rosaceae.
GAUAGGGUACAUCUUUACAUAAACAACAAAAUGAUAGUUGAUAGCUAGCUAGCUUAGCUCUUUAGAACAGAACAGAUGGGAAAUCGAGAUCAAAGUGUACAAUUUUAAAUUAAACAGACUUUUUAAGCAACUGGUUUGAGGUUUGGGCCAUGUGGGAAUUCUAUAUAUAUAUGUAGAAUAUGUAUUCUUUAUUUGUUACGAUUCUUUAUUUUUUCUUUUUUUGAAACUUGUAACGAUUCUUUUAAAUCAAAGUCAAAUGUACAUGUGCAUGAUUCAUUAAAAUACACAUAUAGGGAGUCCUAUUGUUUUGUCGUCUUAGACAAACCACCAAAAUGUGAGCUUUUACCCUUUAUGUAUAUUUAUGUGAUUUAUUUUUUGAGCAAGUUAAAAGAAAUUAUAUGAACUCAAAACCAUAAUUAUAACUUCAGUAAAAAAAAAGUCAUAAUUGUAACUUAAACAGAAAAUAACAAUAUGUAAUUCACAUAAGAAUUUUAUAAAAUGCAUAAAAUAUCACUUGGCCCUAACUUUUUAAAAGUAAUAUGCGUAUGUAUAUAUAGACGUUUACACAAAUUGGAGGGUCCUUCCAAUUUGGAGGCCUUGGCCCGCAUGUACCCUCGGCCUCCCAUAUCCUUAUGGUAUCUUGGUAUCAUGUGUGUGAAAAAACCUGUUUUCUUUGUAGUAAAUUUGACUAUCGCUUAUAUAUAUCAAUAAAAUAAAGACAAUCAAAGACUUGGUCUCACAAACAACCUGAUUUGAGCCUCUUCCGUUCUCAAUCACACAGUUGUUUAUUGCAAAGGGGAAAUUUAUAAUAAUAAUUAGAUUAGUCAAAUGAUGUAUGUACUGCGCACUUUUGAUUUCUUUCCCCGUUUCACAUGAUGUGUAAGGAAGAAAAAUUAGGCUUUUAAGUACUCCAUGGACCUGCUGUUCAUUUAUUCAAACAUUAAUGAUGACAUGCAAGACGCUCUUUACACAUCUCAAAAAGGUAAUAGGGGUCACGUUUAACACUUCCCAUUUGCGAAAAAAUUGUGGAAAUUAUAGUGCUAUCUUUUCUGACACCAUAAAAAUUAUGUAUAUGCGGGUGUAAAUUUGAUAUACAUUGUUAUUUUUAAAAAAUACCUUUUUGGGUAUAGUCGUUGUCUAACAUGCAUCAGAGUAUUUUUGAUUGGUUUGGCUGCGUGUAUUUGUUUGUCUCUCUCCCUCUGUGAAUGUGUAAGCCUUUCCAUUUUUACACGUGAAUGAGUUUGUAAGCUUGAUAUAUACAUUGAUAACCGAGACUGAAAAUUUUGGGCCUUGUUGGAAUCUAACAAUGCGUCAGUCAUGUUUGCAAUCCUUAGAAUCAAAGUUUGAUUGUUUCUAAUAUUGCCUCGAAGAGCAAUUGACUUCUCGAAUUAGUAGGGGACAUCAGUACAACUCAACACGUUCACACCCACCAAUCCGCCGAGACACUAUUUUUUUUUUUCCUUCUUGAUGUCGUAUUUUUAUUUGCAAAUUGCUAGCUGAAAACCUUUUUUCUAGGGGAAAGAGAGACUACCCCCACACCCCGGAUUAGGGCAAACCCCAGACCUUUAGCAAGAAGGACCUAUGCAAGGGCCCGUAUGCCCUGUAGCCAUAUGUAUGAAUUUACAUAAGAAUUUUACAGAUUACCCACCAAACACACUAUUGCUGACAACUGAACUCGAAUACUGAUGGAGUGUCACAAUAUAAGGACCUUACCAAUUGAGCCAACCCGUGUUGGCUGCUAGCUGAGAACUUUGCAGUGCCUCUGCAAUAAUAUUUUCUUUGGCUAUUAGAAAAAAGGAAAAAUUAUAUCGUUCAAAGUUCAACGCCAAGUACUAGUUUGAGCGAUAUUUUUCUUUUAAUAAUUUUUUUUUUUUCACAAAAUGGAUAUUUUCAAAUUCUCAAAUUCCUUUGACUUUUGCAAUUCAUGUAGUUGGAGAAGAAGUCUUUUCUUAUUCAUCGGCCAGAUGUAUAAUUUCACAUAUAUGAUGAUCAAAUAAAACCCUUUAAAACUCAUAUUGAGUGGAGUAGACUAGCUCAAACUUUUGCAUUUAGCAAAGAUGAUUUUAUAUUACUCAUCCAAAUUUCAGAGAGAUUAAAAAACAGAGUUUUCUGUAUAUAUUUUGUGGCUCAGAUAUAUUUGCUCGACAUUGAUGUAAAAUAUAUGUGGUGAUCAACAAGUCUGCAGCCAUGGCAAAGCCAAGCUCUGUCUCUCUCUUUUUCCUUCUUCAGGUAGCUUUAGCAAUCUCGACUUGCGGCGGAAGCAAAUCUUGGCACUCAAAGCAGCAAGCUGCCUUCUUCAUAUUUGGAGACUCUUACUUAGACUCUGGCAACAACAAUUACAUCAACACCACAACUCUUGACCAGGCCAACUUCUGGCCUUAUGGAGAAACCUACUUCAAGUUUCCAACUGGAAGAUUCUCCGACGGACGUUUGAUGUCAGACUUUAUUGGUGAGAUUUGCAAAUCUUUUAUAAUGUGGUCCUUGGUUGUACAAGUCCACUUUUGGUUAGCUAAUCUAACAGAGAUUUUUGUUUUGUCUGCUUAUAGUUAAUUAAUCAUGAUCUUAUCUAAUAUUUUGUAUAUUAUUUUAUAUAAUUUGCAGCUGAGUAUGCUCACCUGCCAUUUGUUCCUCCCUUUCUUCAACCGGGCUUUCACCAAUAUUAUGAUGGGGUGAAUUUUGCAUCUUCUGGGGCUGGUGCUCUGGUUGAGACGUUUCAAGGGUCGGUAUGUAAGUUUUACAUUUGAGAGAGAAUGAUACUGCCAUGCUAUUUGGUAUGAAGUUGACAUUUCAUGAUGUUUCCCCUUUCUUUUGUCUUAAUUGUUAACUUUUGUAUUAACUUGACAAGAAGUAAGAAAAUCGAGAAAGUCGUAGGUACAUGCAUAGGUUGUUUCACCUCAUCAUACUGAUAUGAUACAAGAAACUAUUAACGAAAUGACACGUAAUCAUUGUUAAUGUGCUCUAUAUUCGUAUCAUUUACAUCGGUGUGAUCUCAAAAAAAUUUUGAAUUUAAAUAACGUAAAGGCCCCGUAACAAUAAUUACUCAUCAUCUUAUUAUUAGUUACAUGAGGUCAUAUUACAACCGUUGCAUCUAAGAAAUUCUCGAAGUACAAAAUGUUUAAAAUGUGCCCUUUCGUAUAUGAGAGUCGAGAAAAUAAAAAGUUUUAAGUAUUGUUGUAUCUACUUUAGACUCAGAAAGUGUAGCAAAAUAGUUAUGGAACUUUCAUAUUCUCCUAUUUCAGGUCAUUGAUCUUAAAACACAACUGAAGUAUUAUAAGAAGGUAGAGAAGUGGUUCAGACACAAGUUAGGCGAUGUUGAAGCCAAAGUGACACUUUCAAGAGCCGUCUACUUGUUUAGCAUUGGAACCAACGAUUACAUCAGCCCUUUCCUAACCAAUUCCCCCAUAUUGAAGUCCUACUCUAAAUCACAAUAUAUUGGAAUGGUCAUUGGCAACUUGACAAGCGUUAUCCAAGUAUGAAUUAUUUAGUAGUUUAUUUCUCAAGAAAUGUUCUAUUUUCAAAUAAUCUGAUAUGUUAUGUUGUUGGUCGAAACGACACAUUUCCACAUGAUGCUAUUUAAUCAGUGAUGCUAAUUGAUAGUGUGAUAACAUAACAUAUUUAGAGUGCACAUAUUUGACUCUUAUAUAUUAUGAUCGGGUGUGAAAUUCACAGGAAAUUUAUGCUGGUGGCGGUAGGAAAUUUGGGUUCAUCAACUUGCCGACCUUGGGUUGUCUUCCGGGCAUGAGAAUAAUCAAGCCAGAAAACAAAGGUAGCUGCUUAGAAGAAGUUUCAUCACUUGCCAAGUUACACAACCAAGCUCUCUCCAAACUUCUGAUUCAACUAGGAAACCAGUUGGAGGGUUUCAAAUAUUCACUCUACGACCUGAGCGGGAAUCUUAGGCAGAGAACCAGACAUCCCUCGGGAUAUGGUACGUACUCAAUCCACACCAAUCAUCAUAAAAAUUGUCUUAUCAAUCCAUUGAUUGGAUAAACAUAUGGGUCCUAAGUCUUCUGCCUAAUAAUAAUCACCAGAGUUUUCAGUACAUUGUUGAAAAUAGGGCCUGGACCAUGCUUAUUCUUGCCAGUGAGGGAAGUGGGCCAGGCCGAUAAGACAAUCCCUUGUACUAGUGUUAGGUGUCUGGUGGACCAACAGGUCCAAUAAUUUGGUGGUGGACCAAAUUCUUUUUUGACCUUGAGCGUGCCAAUGACAAAAUAGUGCUUGGGAUAGUCCUCAACGUUCGCCCGGGUUACUCUCAGCCGUUAAUGUAAGUGGAAUUUACGAUGCAUUAAUGAUUUAGAGUCACCAACGUGCAUGUGGGAGACUAUACUUAACAAUUUUCAAAAAAUAUUGCUGGUCUCCUUUUGUUUUCACUUUUCUUUUUCAAUAAAGUAAAGUUGAGCAAAUUUUCUAGAUCAGUGUACUGAUCAAAUUGUUGGGUGCAUUUAGAAGCCCAUGUUCUUGUUCUUUUAAUCAGCGUACGGACUCGUUUGGGAAUGAUUUGUGUAGGAAGUACUUGUGCGUUUUCAACAAAACGCUUCUGUUUAUGCAAACUUAUUUGCUCAUCAAUUUGUGCUGCAAAUUAAUGUUGAAUGUUGUAAUUGUUUGUGGUGGAAGGUUUCAAGGAAGGAAAAGCAGCAUGCUGUGGUACAGGGCAGUAUAGAGGGGUGUUCAGCUGUGGAGGAAAAAGAAUAGUGAAGGAGUUUGAAUUGUGUGAGAAUCCAAAUGAACAUGUGUUCUGGGAUUCUCUCCAUCUCACUGAAAAGGUCUACAAGCAAUUGGCCAAUCAAAUGUGGAGUGGUCGGCCAUGGGACUCCAAUGCCACGGGUCUAUACAGUCUCAAGGAUCUCUUCCUCCAAAGCUUCUAAUUAAAUCCUUGCAUCAAAUCACAAAUCGUGACAUAUUAAAUAUUAAAUUAUUAGUCUUUUUUGAUGUAACGCGCUCAUUCCACCAGAAUUAUAACAUGUGACUUUGAACAUUUCAAUCUUUGGUAAAUUAAAAUUAAAAUUAGAUGGAGCAGCUUAGCUGUAAUUGAAGAUUAGACAUGUAUCUUUUGCUACUUUGGUUGACCACCGCAGCCAAAAUAAGUCUUUGCUUCUGGAAGAACUAUGAUUGAAAGUGUAAAUGUCUUGUUACAAUUAUAUUUUUCAAGUAAAACUGUCGAGAUAAACACCCAAAAUUAUCAAAAUUAUUAAAUAUGUGACAAUAGUUUUAAACUUUUUUUAUACAAAAAGAAAAAAACUUUAUUAGUUUUCAAGGAGUAGUUGUGUGUGUAUAAAAAAUUAGAUGAAGCCGUCCUCAGUGAUGUUUGAGGAUUUCUCGUCUUUGAUCGAUUACUCAAUUUUAAAGAUAUGAACAAGUUGCUAAGUAUUUAUAAUUUGAGUCUAUUGCCUUUUUUGUAUAAAUUUAAAUUAGUAAUGUCCAUCAAUUGAAAAUGUUAGAAAGAAGAAGAAACAGUUGGAAAGAUUUAAUUUGCACUUUUUCUUUUCUUACCCGUCUAGAGCUUAAUGUGUCUGUCUAAAGAUUACUUAAAAUACAACUUUAAAAGUUCGAUGAUCGAGCCUGCAUGUGUAGAGACACUCACCUAAUUCCUUAAGACAUAUCUUGAUUUUUGUAACUAUAUUCGAUUUAAGAUUUGAAGUACUCGAUUGACUAUACUAAUGUAAGAGCAUCUCCAACCGAUAUGUCAAAUUGCCACAUGGACAUGCAAUAGUAAAAAUUAAAGGUUAAAAAUAACAUAUCAAAAAGCUUCAUGUCAAAUAUUAUUUUAAUAUUUUUUAGUCAUGGACCCCAUUAUCAUUUACUCUCUUUUAAACAUUUUAUGCAUCAUAUAUGCCCAAUUUGUUUUUAAAAAUAUAAUAAAAAUAAUGUGAUAUUUAACAUUUCGAGUGGAGUUAAAUUUUUUCCAAAGUGCCACAAAAGCCAUUAAAUUCAAAUUUAAUCGUUUACAUUUGACAUCUUCCUUGAAGAUGUUCUAAUUAACGGUCCUCUAAAUGCCACGAUUGCCUCGCAUUUCCGGCCAUUUCUACUUAAACUGUUAUUCUAGUAGGUCUUGUUGACGAACUUCAAAGAAUGGUAAUUUCUAUAAAAAAAAAAAGGCCAUAUCAAACAUAUAAAAAUGAAAACAAUAAUAUUUUAAAGUCUGAGAAGAAGGUGGUGGAGAAACAAAUUUAAAUGCGAUAGAGUAAAAUAUUUGUUUGCUUACGUAUCUUCCUUCUGGAUUGUUUUGAUUUGGACUUUUUAAAGAGAAUAGGUAUGUACUUGAUUUUUAUACACAAAAAAAGAAAAAAAAAGAAAAGGUCAUUGAUUUUUAUACGCAUGGAGAACUGCCUCCAAAUGUCCCUAUAAAUAGCAAUGCAAGAUGAGUUGAAGAUCGAAUCUAGCAAUUCAGAACAAAGCAAAAAAAUAAAAAAGAAGAAAAAAAGUAUGGCAAAUAUAAGCUUCCAAGUCUCUGUCUUCGCAUUUUGUACAAGCAUUAGCCUUCUUCUCAUGGCAACCCAAAGCCAAGGCCAUCUUGGGUUUGACAAACAUGUACCCCUUUUCUUCUUUGGUGAUUCAUACUUUGAUGCUGGGAAUAACAACUAUAUCAACACUACUCUGCGGGCAAAUUAUUGGCCAUAUGGUGAAACUUUCUUCAAAUACCCGACCGGUCGAUUUUCGGACGGUCGUCUAAUUUCAGAUUUUAUUGGUAAGAGAUAUACAUACUUUACAUGAACUCAUGGAAAUGGUGUCUUAUAGUAAAGAAUCCGAAAUGUUAAUAUUACCCAGGUAAUUGAAAGUUAAGUAUUUUGCUGUUGCAGCUGAGUAUGCAGAGUUGCCGUUUAUUCCACCGUAUCUACAACCCGGCAGUCAUCAGUUUAUAUAUGGAGCAAACUUUGCAUCUGCAGGAGCUGGUGCUCUGGUUGAAACUAGCCAAGGUUUGGUAUGUGUGAAAUCAUUUUGCAUGAAUUUUUUGUUUAUUUUUAUUUAAUCACUGGGGAAGGAGGGAUUCGAAACUUGGAUUAGGAAUCGAAAUACCACUAAAUCAAGAGUUAGUUUGAUGCAUGCAUUUGCUUCGUCAAUUAGUUUUUCCACAAUGGAAAUUACCGAUACACUGUACAAGAAAAGUCAUAAUGCAUAUAUAGGUCACCCAUUUCUUACACCACAUUUAUCAUAUGAUUGGGUUCAAUGCACCUUUUAUAGAGAUGUGGUACACCAACCAAUCUAGUAGAAAACAUGUGGUACAUCUAGCAAGUCAACGCUUCCACAAGACUUGCCUAGUCUUGGCAUGAGUUUAUAUUUAGAAUAGACAUGUACUUGUAAACUACCCAACCACACAUUGAAUAGAAGGCUCAAACAUUAAUUAUAACAUUUUUUUUUUCCUGAAAACUAUGACCCUUAUGAAAUUGGUUACUUAGUUUUCUCAACCUUAACCCUCUUUCAGGUGAUAGACCUUCAUUCUCAACUCUCAUAUUUCCAAAGGGUCAAGAGGUUGCUGAGGCAGAAACUAGGGGAUGAAGAAGCCAAGGCUCUGCUCUCAAGAGCCGUUUACUUGUUUAGCGUCGGAGGCAACGAUUAUAUUUUCCCAUUCGAGACAAACUCCAGUGUGCUUCGAUCCUACUCUCAUGAGGAAUUUGUAGGCCUGGUGAUAGCCAACAUCACUGCAGUAAUCAAAGUAAAUUCCUAGCUAGUACAUACUUUUUUUUAAAAAAAAGUAUUGAUUACAUAAUAUUGUUGUGCAUGCAUGAUGGAUAUAGUACUAACAAACGAAAUAUUCAUUUUGACGAAUUAGGAAAUAUAUAGGGAAGGAGGAAGGAAUUUUGGGUUUCUUGGCCUUGAUCCUCUUGGUUGUUUACCAUAUUCAAGAGCAAUUGUAUAUGUACGGGGAGAAAGUGGUGCCUGCUUUGAAGGAAUUACACCAUACGUAAAACUACACAACAAAGCAAUUUCCAAACUCCUGCAGAAGCUAGAGAUUGAGCUCAAGGGAUUCAGAUACUCACUUUCCCAAAUUUACGAGUUUUUAAUAGAAAGAAUAAAUCAUCCCUCUAAAUAUGGUACGUACAUAUCUUGAAAAAAUCUUCGUAUGAACUAAAUUUAUAUUAUCAAACCGUGAAUUUGAUGACAUUUAAUAUAGAAAUAAGGAAUUAAUGUUCAAUUUUUGUUUUGUGAUCGACAAAGGUUUUGAGGAAGGGAAAGUGGCAUGCUGUGGAAGUGGUCCAUAUGGAGGCAUUUAUAGCUGUGGAGGGAAGAGAGAGGUGAAAGAGUAUGACCUGUGUCAUAAUGCUAGUGAAUAUGUCUUCUUUGACUCUGGUCAUCCAACUGAAAGGGUCUUUCAGCAGUUUGCCAAGCAAUUCUGGAGGGGAACUUCCAAUUCCACUACGUCUUACAAUCUGAAAGCACUAUUUGAAACUCAAUAUUAAGUAUGUAUAUUUAGGGUACGUAUGAGAAUUUUGUUUAUUUAUUUAGGGUCUUAGACCAAUUUUGCCCCCAUAUGUAGUGAGAAUGUUUGCUCAUUGUUCUACCAAACCUGUGCGUGUAUGGUUACAUAUGAGUGUUUAGUAUUGUAAAUUCAUAACAAAUUUUUUUGUAUGUGACGUGGGCAAUAUAAUACAGUGGGUUACAUAUUUACGGGUGUGAAUUUUUUUGGAUAUUAUUAUUAAUUGUGUUUGAUAAACUGUUCCCGAAAAAUGAAACAAUUCUCGUAUUGUGGAAAUUUUUCCUAUCAAUUCAUCAAACAAAGUUACCCAAACCCCAUGAAUGCCAAAAUCACCCACCCGAUGAACAAAUCAAUUAAUUGGUUGAUAAAUUAACCAUUUUAGAGAAUUUAUUAACCCAUAAAACUACCAAAACUAAAAUACAUGGUGUGGAGGAAGGCCAUGCGGCAAGAAGAAUGGAGAAAAGGGAAUCUGAUGCAGAUGAUGAGGAACAUAAGGCCAUCUCCAAUGACGAGGGCUAAAUCUAGCCUGGGUUAUAGCCUUUUAAAAUAUUAUUUUUUAAGGAGUAGUGUAGGGCUAAAUUUUUUAACCUCUAUGUUAGGGCUCUCCAUAUUUUAUCAUUUUGAGAAAAGCUAUAGUACAUUACUCAUACAUUCAACUAGGGUUUGUGCCCGGUUUGAAAUUUUCGAAUUCGGACCGAGUCUUAUGGGGUUUUUUAUUUUUCGAGUCGGGCCGAGGUUUCAAAGGCCUUGGCGUAGGCCCGCUCAUUGGGCUAACUUUAUUAUUCUAUUUAUUAUUUAUUCUAUUAUGGGCGGGCUGAGUCAAGCUUAGACAUGCUUUUCGGGCGGACCGAGGUUUCAAACUCUUUAUUCAAGCCCUACUCAUUCUUAAAACGGAUCGAACCUAAAUAUCGGGCUGAAUCGGGCUUUGGCACAUCGUGCCUCCGACUACCCACAGACUCCAUUGUUGUAUGCCCUCUACUUUCUAAGGGAUUGAAUCUGCUUCUCAGCUUUGGGGUUUUGGGUUGUUCUCUUUUUGGUUACAAGGUUUUGGGUUUUCUUAUUGUUUUCAAGAGCUGCAAACCCAGGCCCAAGUUUCAAAUUUUCCAUCCAUCUUAUUUUGUUUUGGAUUAUCAUUUCUGCUUGCUCUGAAAAUUUUAUAAUAUGAAUCAUAUCGUAAAAUAGAGAGAACAUGAGAGUACAAGUUAGAUAACAGUGGAAUUGUAAUGACUUUUAUGAUACUUCUCAAAUACAUUGAGUAGACGAAUUGCACCGACUCAUUUUUCCUUAGUAAUGGUUUCAAUCACAUCUUUCAUUACGUUGUUGUACCUAGUGUAUAAGUUCAUCACAAAAUCUUCACUUCUCCAUAAUUUUUUGCUUUUCACUCUCACCUUGUGGCCCAUCCACAUUUACAACAAAUAAGCAUAUUUUUGAUAUAUUAUUCUUUUAUAACAUGCUAAAGUUAUUUCACAAUGAAUAUCUUUAGAACUCUCUUUAUAGCAAUUUUUGUGGAAAUUAAAUCUGAUCGAGCCUUUGAAGAGUUGAGAUAGAGGAAGCAUACAUAUAUAUAUAUAUAUAUAUAGAGAGAGAGAGAGAGAGAGAGAGAGAGAGAGAGAGAGAGAGAGAGAGAGAGAGAGAGAGAUGUGGGUUAUUUAUUUAUUAUUAUUAUUUAUAUAAAUGGAAUUUAAAUUUAAAAAUAAAUACAUUUUCUUCUUUUUCUAUGAUUUUUAAAAUUUAAAUCAUGUUAAAAAUAUUUGUUUUCCAUUUAAAUCCAUGUGGUAUUGUUUUAUUGGAUAUGUAGGCUCCACAUAUGUGCCAUGUUAGGAAACUAACUGAAAUUUGUACUUAGGUGAAGGGGGUAUAUUGAAAACCCCAAGCAAGCUCAAGAAAUCCUAGGUCUAUUUAGGAAACAAGAUAUACCUCCUCUGUUCAACCUUCCUUUCUAACUUAGUAAAGGUUGUAGCAAGUCCUUCAUGGCAAUGAAAGCUUCCUCUUCAGCUUGUUCAUCCCAUGAUACCGGCUUACACAGCUCAAAUCCGAACAGGAACAAGAAACUUGGAUUCCAAAUGACAAGACCAAUUUUUUCAAGAAAUCAUACUCUUGAAGAAAUCAAUAUAGAAUCUGACCAAGAUCUAGAUGGUGUAUAUGUUGUUUUCUAGAUGCAGAUUUUAAAAAUAAUGAAAGCAAUUUUCAAAUGCAGAUUUAAAAACUCAUUUUCAAAAGACAUGACUUCUUAAAAAAAAUGUGGUGCAAAAGCUAUAUGAGCAAGCUCUUAAAUCUUUUUGGGAAAGAAAGAAGUGUAUGAAUAUGUUAGAUGCAUAUUUCAAAACUCAUGAAAGCAGAUUUUCAAAUGCCAUUUGAAAAACUCCUCUUCAAGAGAAUGACCUCUUACCUAGAGAGAGAGAGAGAGAGAGUAAAAGGAGGACCGAAGUGUAAGAUUUAAAACAUUUUAAAGAAGUUUAUUUGAAUAUAAAUCAAAUUAAUCGCAGUGAAAGUCUAUGGUGGUUGUUUAAAUUCAAAAAUAAAACUUCUUCCAAGUAUCUUAAGCCAUGAACAUUGACAUGUUUUUCAUAAAUGGAAAGUUCAAGAGAAAGGAUAGGAUCUAAUUACCCUUGAAGCAAUUAUAUAUGAAUCAAUUUGUGUUUGGUCUUCUCUUGAUGAUUUCCUCUUUGUUGAUCUCCUCUUUGAUCUUUGCUCCUUGAUCUUUCUCCUCUAUGUGAGCCACAAAAGUAUAUGGCCUCUAAGUGCCCGUUUGGCAUUGCUUAUUUGGGGCUAUAAGUGAUUAUUUUAAAAUUUUUGAAAGCCCAACCUGUUUGGUAAAAGAUAAUAAAAUCACUUAUUUUGAAUAAUUGCUGUAAGAGAAAGUAAUUAGGGAAAGAAAGUGAUGAGCUGCUUUCAUUUUUUGAAUAUGCAGAAAUCAGUUUUCAAAAAGCGCUGGGUUUAAUGAAACUUUCAAAAUUUCAAAAAUAACACCCCUCCCCCUUUUUUUUUUAACCAACCGCACUUCUAACAAAAAUUUUACCAAACCCCAAACUGCUUUAUUUCACAGCUAAUUUCUCUCACAGCAAAUCUAACAGUGAUUAUUUUUAUAGCAUAGCAAUGCCAAACUGGCUCUAAGUCUCCACACCAAUGGAACCUUGAGAUGAGAGGAAGUAUCUUAAGAAUACAAGAAUGCUAGUGCAAGAUUCUCAAGAUUAGUUUCAGUCUAAAUCAUUUGAAAGAUGAAAGUGUUUCACUCUUGAAAACUCUCUUUUAUCUCUCUUUGAUCUCCCAAACCUAUUUGGUUGAUGUUGGAUUGUGUUUGUAUGUCAAUUAGCUUAUGGAAACAAUUCCAAUACACAUUUACUUAAGCAUUUUCGACCAAACCCUAUUGGGCUUCCAAAAUUGGGCCUUGUGACACUUAAAUUAUAAUAUUUAGGUGUCUUAAGCCCUUGGGCUUGAUACCUAACCAUUUGGGCUUCUUGUUAACUAUUACCGAGACCCAAAUACGUUUUUACACGUAGUAAAUCAUCCGCAUCAAAUCAAUCAAAUUGAUUUCCUCAUUCUCAUUUGUAUUACUCAAAGUUAACCAUUUAAGGUGUGCGAUCCAUUAGGUUCUAAUUAGCAAGCAAUGGGAAAAUAUUAGAACUCUUUCUAAUCAACUGGAAUUAAAACUCCUUUUUAAUUCUUCAUUUAUUUGGAUCGAUCACAAUCAAUCCUAGGACUUCCACGAGGCAAGAGUGACAUCUAGCAAUAUAUCAAGGCUACCCAAGCUAACGAUAAUAGAUGAAGAACCUAUUCAAUUGGAAUUGCAAUGCAAUACAGUCCUUCUCUUAUAUAAUGUUUCAAAUCAUAUUAUCAGGGUGCAGAUUGAUUAUGUCAAACCCCUAAUAUGAUUUAUAACCUCAUGUAAUUCAAAAGAACAUGAUUAAGCAUAACUUUCUAAAUCAAGCUCAAAAUACUUUGGCCAAAGAUUUGAUGAAUCACAUUUUGAAACAUUCUCCUUCUUUAUCGAAGGUAGAGAUUCCUUAUGAUGAAUUAAGAUAUCCCAACAACACUUAAGACAAAUCUUUUACGGCUUGCCUUUGAGAGCUAUUAAAGAUCAAUAAUGCAUCCCAUGACAACCAUGAUGCCUCAGGUCUAAGGACUAAUGCAACUAUGAGUUCUCAUUUAACAUAUAGAUAAAUACUCCAUACGAGAACUAUGGUUGAUCGUGUUUAGUGUACUCAUUCACUAAUGAGCCCCCACAUACUUGUAUUAGUGUCAACUACACAAAUUGUUUGAGACUAACCAUCCUCCUAAUUGAGUAUACAUAAUAUAUGCUAAUCUUGACGAUUUAUCAAUGCCCAUUUAAUAACCCAUGAUUAGGAACAUUUUGGGAUACUAAAGUUAGAGAUUAAAGAUCUCCCGAAUCUAAUUUUCUUUAGAUUGCUUUAUCUCUUAUUUAGCGUACCUUGAACAUUUAUUUCUUUACACAAUGUAAAAGAUAACAAAAUAAGUUUGCCCCUUAUAUAUCAUAUACAAAAUGUAUUCUAAUACAAAGCUUUCCAAAAUAUUGGGUCUCAGAGAAGUGAUGGCUGCAAGGUGAGGGAUGAGGGUUUUACCAAUGCUUCAUGAAUGAUUUUACUUUUGAGAACUCAUAACUGUGAACAGGUCACUUUUGUUUUGUACCACAGCCACUGAUUCAUCAUUCUUCAUCCUAGUCUAAUUCUAAACUCUUGAGUUUGAGUGAAAAUAGUAAACUAUUACAAUUCGUUAAGGAAAGCUAAAAUACUUUGCUAAGCGACACCUAACACUAACAUAUUUUUUUACAUAAUUUAAGAACAUGGACUACUUGUGAGCACGGAUAUUAACCUUAAGAACUAUUAAUAAUAAAAUAUAAAAAUAAAUAAAAGAUAAAAUCUGAUAAUUACGUAAACCUCAAAGACGUUUUGUGAUAUAAAAAAACCAAUUUUAAAAGAAUAUGAAGGACAUAAGCUAAAUACAAACACAUGGAAUGCAAUGAAAAAGAAAAGUUCUUUGAAUCAAAUCUGAAUUAUUAUAAUCAAUCCUAAAAUAGCAUAAACUAGUCCUCACAAUUCCCACAUCAAAUCCAACCGACAUUUGUGACAGCCUACCGCGCCUAAACAUUGGUGGAUUUUGCUUUCAUAGUCUAUUAGCCAUGUGUUCGGCACCUGCAAAAAGUGUGAACGUAUUUAGGAUUUAUUCUUGGGAUUUAUUCUCUUGUUUGGCUAAAUUUUUAUUAUCUCUCAACCACGUGGCUGUGGAUCUCAUCAUCACAGUAUUUAAUUAGCCAUGCAUUCCACCAGGUGGUUAUUGUAAACCUGAUUAGUAUUUAUAUGGACUUCUCAAUUGUGGCUCGGUGUAAAAUAUUUGUUUGUUUGUGCAUAUUAUUCUUUACAGAAAAAGACGACAAUGAACGUUUAAUUUUUUUUACAGGGAGGUAUAAUUGUGUACUUGUUUUGUUCGGCACAUUUUGAUUUAUUCAUUCGCUUUUAGUUGCAAUGAGGAUAACAUUAUUUUGUUAUUUUCGAUCAGUAAUUUUAUAUUACGUAAAAGUAUUAUCACAUGUAUUAUAACGUUAUUAGACAGACCCAUUUCAUAAAAAUCUUUCUACUUCAAAUGCCCCUAUAAAUAUCAACUGUAGCUAGAUGAGGUGAUCAAGAUGCAAUUAAGUAAGAGAUAGAUAUGGAAAAUAUGAGCUAUAUCCAAAUCUUCGUCUUUGCCUUAUGUACAAGCCUUCUUGUCACAACCCAAAGCCAUGGCCAUCCUGUGUUGCCAAAAACACAUGCACCCCUUUUCAUAUUUGGGGAUUCAGUCUUUGAGGUUGGAAAUAAUAACUACUUUAACACUAGUUGGCGGGCAAAUUAUUUUCCAUAUGGUGAAACCUUCUUUCAUUACCCAACUGGGAGAUUUUCUGAUGGUCGUCAAGUUCCAGACUUUAUUGGUACAUAGUAUAUAUAUAUAUAUAUAUAUAUAUAUAUAUAUAUAUAUUAGAAAUAUGAUAUGAAUGAAUUUUUCAAAAUAAAUUUUAUUUUAUAUUUUUAUAAAUAUAUCUGAAUUAUGACUAGACAUAAUUUUAUUGUUGCAGCUGAGUAUGCGAAGUUGCCAUUGAUUCCACCAUAUCUACAGCCUGACAAUCAUGAAUUUUCAUAUGGUGUCAACUUUGCAUCUGCUGGAGCUGGUGCUAUGGUUCAAACUCGCCAAGGCGUGGUAUGUGACGUGUUUUUGGAAGAAUGUGCGUGCAUCUUAAGUUAAAGACGUCGAAAAGACAGGUUUUCCGGGUUUACGAGUUUUAGUAAAUUUGAUUUUUCCCAUUUAAACUAAUUUUUUUUCUUACUUGCGGUCUAUCAAUUUAUUUUUGUAUAACUAAAGCCGGAUAACUAGAAUCUAAUUUAGCUUAAUAUAGUAUUUAUUGUACUUUUCAAAUCCAAAAAUUCCCCCACUUACAAUUUUACGUGUUAUAUAUGGGGUGUAUUGUUAUAAAUCUAGAGAAUUAAGGAGAGAAUUUGGGAGCAGAGAAUUGAGGAGAGAAAUGGAGGAAGCAGAGAAAAAACUCUACCCCUCUUUCAGAUUGUCUAUGUUUAUAUCAUUAGCAAUGUGGGCCCCUUUCCAACAUGUGGGCUCCACACCAAAUAAUUUACAACACUCCCCCUUGGAGACCACAAAUGAUACAGAAUAUGUCUCGUUAAAAACCUUGCCAGUAAAAACCCAGUGGGACAAAAAAAACUGGCCAAAGGGAAAAAGAGUACAUAAUCAUGUGUAACAUAAAAUUCUAUGUAUAUUGACGCGCAUGCGACACUGCCUCGUUAAAACCUUGCCAGGAAAAACCCAGUGGGAUAAAAACCUGGACGAAGGAAAAAGAGUACAGUGUUUGAAGAUCUUUAUUGAUAGCACGCUCCCCCUGAUGCUUGGCAAAAUAUCUUUAAGCCAUACUGUUGAUCAUCUUUCUGAAUAUCGUAGUUGACAUUGCUUCUGUGAGUCAAUCUUGAGUGACACUGCUGCUGUGAGUCAAUUGUAACACCCCGACCCUAAAUUUAACCCUUAUUUAAUUAUUUAAUUAUUUAAGGGUAUUUUAGUCAUAUUUUUAACCGGAGAGAGUUUGGGACCGCGACUUAUAUUUUUGGAUAGGUCGUACUGAGACGAGUUCAUAGACACGUAGUGGGCUCGAAUCGGAGUUGUAACGAGAGAGAUAUGGUCAAAAGAAGCCCAGUGGCAUAAUCGUAAAUAUUUCAAAAUGGGAUUUUUUAUAAAAUCAGAUUUCUCUCUCUCUCUCUCUCUCUCUCUCUCUCUCUCUCUCUCCCGCGACUCCUCUCUCUCUCUCCCGUCGGCCUCUCCUCUCUCUCUCUUCGUAACUCCGGCCACCGGCCGCGGCUGCGGACGGGGCCGGCGUCAAAAGAACCGGCUCGACCUCGGCGUCACGACCCAGCACAUCCCCGCCAUCGGCCGCCGCUCCAGCCGCCGGAAAAUGGCGAUUUUCGUCCGGAUGUCGCCGGAACUUCAACGCCGUCGAUCUCCCUCCUCCGGCCACCAAAUCCGUCGACCCAGGUAUGGAUUUUGAAGCUCUCGAGCUGCUCUAGCUGAUGGUUGGGUAGGAUUAGAUCGAUUUGUAGCGUAGCUAACUCAAUUUUCGAAUUGAAAAUCGGCCGAAACUUCGGCCGCCGUGAUCGGGCAUUUCCGGUCACUUUUUGGGGUAGGUCCAAGAACAAAAGUGACUCCAAAUGAGGUGUUUUACCUAGGAUAGGAGUUUGGAGUCUUGGUUCCGAGAUUUUUCGACGAACCAUAAUCGCUUUGGACACCCGAUCUGCCAGCGCGUGUGGCAGCGCGUGGGCGAGGGUGGUGGAGCGACUCUGGGUAGUUUUGAGAUCCUCGUGCCGUCACGAGUGCGUAGGAUUUCGCGGAUCUCAAUUCGGACGUCGUUUGACUAUCGAACGGAUAAUCGCAUAUUAUGCGUUAUCCGGGUUCGAUAGGUUGGGACCGUCGGAUGGUCCCAAAUUUAAUAUAUGUUGAUCUAGGUAUUUCUAGGAUCGUGUAGGAUUUCACGGAUCGAGAAUCGGAGCCCCGGAUGUUGGAUUCACUACAUGCACCACCAAGUGAAAGUUAGGUCCCACGUGGCGUAAGUUAUCCGGCGUUGGGACAGGCCCCAUACGUGGCGUUGGUUGUACCGGCGUAUGGGGAGAUUUGUAAUAUGAUGUUCAGGAGGGUGAUGUGCCUUAUAUGGCACACCCGCAUCCAUCUAGCACGAGGCCUUUUGGGAGCUCACUGGCUUCGGAGUUGUAAGAACUCCGAAGUUAAGCGAGUAGGAGGCUGGAGCAAUCCCAGGAUGGGUGACCACCCUGGGAAGUUGCUUCGUGAGCUCCCAGAAACAAAACCGUGCGGGCAGUGAGAGGAGGGCCCAAAGCGGACAAUAUCGUGCUACGGCGGAGCCGGUCCGGGGUGUGACAUCAAUCUUGAGUGACACUGCCUCGUUAAAACCUUACCAGGAAAAACUCAGUGGGAUAAAAACCUGGAUGAAGGAAAAAGAGUACAGUCUGCAUAUCUAAUAACACUUGGGCUAUUUGUAAGUUCACUCAAAAAUAUGCCCGUAUAUGGUGUUAUGCUGAGAUAGCAUCAAAUAUACCUCACAUCAUCCCAAAAUGAUGGUGAUGGAGGUGAGCUCUAUCUGGAAAAUACGAUAUACGGUCCAAUAUACUUCCGGAAAAUCCUUAAAGUGUCCAACGGAUAAUCCUCAUAAAAAUGCUUCAAUACUUUCUUAGUAUAAGCAAGAAUCUCGUUGGCAUAAUGCUCGAUCCUUAAGUCGAGACAAAUAUUUCUUGAACUCUUCAGAAGCUUUAAUGUGUUGCAAACACAUUAUAAUCCAUGUACUCACUGAGACAAUUUAUGCACAUUAGUAUUGAGUACAGAUUUUGUGCUUCAGGCACAUGUCCUUCAGGGACUUGCUUCAUGCAAUUUCAAUCCUUUCAAGGAUUUUGUUUAAAGGGGAUUAAACUUUAUGACACAUUAUAUAGCUUUAACCCAGCUAUUUAUACAUCUUUAAGGAAUCACUACUGGUGAUAUGCUCCGUGCAUUUAAUAACCCUUAAAGAUAACAUCUUGGUCUUCGUAAAUGUGCAAUAAGGAGGCACAAUCGAAUCUGUAAAUAUGGAGAAAACCCAACAUUCCUUGUUUCUGCCAGAAACAUUGUGUCAUACAAAGUAGGUAUAUUCCCUUUUAUUCCGAACACCCAAGUAUAACAUUCAGUAUUAACAAAUUUUGGGGUUCGUACUGUGGGUUGUUCCUUCACGUUCAUUCUUAUCUAUAAUGGAAUUACCUCAUUCCAUUUUGGCCAAUGAUAUUGUCGACAUUUAAUAAUUGAACGUGGUUCCAAUCAACACAGCCCAUUGAUGAUUUGAGUAGCUACUCCAAAAUCAAAAAUUGUCAUUCAUCAAGUCAUGAUCCCACCAUUCUCAUGUGCAUGCGCAUGCAUCAAUUAUAAGCAUUUCUUUGCUUUUGGGUACCCAAGCCACUGCAGGGGGCUUUUAUUAUGUGAGAAUGUGGAUUAUAACCUCCAAUGGAGCGUUAUUUUAUAGUAGGGCGUGGAUAAUCUCCAUUUAGGGAGUUGGAACAUUUAGAACCCAUAUAUCUGUCAUGCGGCAGGCAUGCCACAGAUUAAUACAUACAUGUCAAUUAAUUUAUGGGACUUUAACCUAUAUAAUUUGCUACGCAUUAGGCGUGCAUAAUAUCAAUAUUGACAUGUCAAAGGAUUGUCCUUUCGGGACUUCAAUCCAUAUCAUUUGCUACGCAACAGGCGUGCAUCAUAUUGAUCACUGCUAUACCCAUAUUCUGUUCUUAUGGUACAUUAAUCUGUGCAGUGUAUUAUCAAUGUAUCCAACUUGCAAUCUGUAAAAUUUGCAUUAAUAAUUCAUGGAUACAUACAAGCCAUUCUUUUGGAACGGACUUAUCUUCCCAUUUGGUUACCUUUCAAGAUAAAAUAUCAAAUAAGUAUAUAAGCAAAAAAUAACACAAGUAUUGCUUACAUCCUUAGGUGGGAGAAACUUGUCUCAAGUAUCAUUCAAGCUCGUAUCGGUCCAGUAACGCUUGAUGAUCUAGUUAUAUCCUGCAAGAGCAAAAAGUCACAAUUCUUCCCUCUGUCAAAAAUAAAUAAAUAACCCUCAGAGUUAGGAUCACCGUAUGGAUUCUUUCUUCGGAUGUUCGUUCUAAAGAAAUAAAAACCCUUAUGAACAGAGAGUUAUAAAAAAGAAAGAAAAGAUACAAAGAUUGUGAUAUUGAUUGCCAGGUAAGGUAAGCAAUCAAGGAAGGAAGUUGGUGGGAGCAGACAAUAAGCUCUCAAUUCUCCUAGUCUAGAAGGACUUCUGGAGAUUAGAGCAUAAGAUCGCCUUCACAGUUUCCUGAUGUAGCGAAAACGUGAUCAGGGAUAGUCUCGCUUCCUGAAUGGAUGAUCAGAGAUAGUCUUGCUUCUCGGGCAUAUUGAAUGUUCACUGAUAAGAAAAACAAGUAGAUAUCGCAUCACUAGGUAUGGAGUAAACUGGAUGUCUUCUGCAAAGAAAAUUUCGUUAGUAACACAUUUAUACACAAUGAAUAGGUAGAACCGGUGAAUUUCAAGUUAACCAUAGGAAAAUUGCGAGAUUCUAGGGAUGCUUUUGAAAAAGUAGCUCCGUGAAAUCCGUAAAGCAAGAUCGGCUUUGAAAAUAAUACUUGAAAACGCCGAAAGUGCCGACAGGCAUUAUUAGAGGCCACGUGAAGUUUUGGACUCUGGGAAAGAAAAAGAUAAUAUGGGGAUUCGAGAAGAUAUUGGGGUCCUGAAAAACAGUAGCCAUAUUUCCUCCUAUAGAUAUGACCUUUGCAAAACUUGAUUGGAGCAACUGCGUUUCAACUCAAAUUUCUUCAUUUUCUGAAACUUUAGUUUUCCUAAGACUUUCUUCGAAACCUUCUCAAAAAUGGCUUCCUCUUCUUCCUGCCCAAAUUAUUUCAAUUUAAAUGAUGCUCCCACAACAACCAGUGACGCCAAAGUUUGGCGUCCAUCCUUUGUAUCCCAAAAUCGUCAUCUCACAGUUAAUGAUUCUGUGAUGAUGAAUGAUGCUACUGCUGUCAUAGUAGCUAGGAAUUUCAUUACUCCAAUGGAUGAAAUGCUGUUAACAGGGAGGUCUGAGGAAGAGGCUAUUGAUGACUCAAUGGCUUUUAGCAUUCAGAGUGCUGCUUCUGUUUCUAACAUGGCUGAUCGUUUGCGUGCUAGAGCAAACGAGGUUGAGAAGCUGACAACUGAAAAUUCGUCUCUUCAAAGAAUGCUUCAUGAGUCUCAACAGGAGGUUAAGAAACUUAAAGGAGAGAAUAAUUCCUUGUUGAAACUGGUGAGUUCGUACUCUGUUGAUACACUGAGAAGGCUAGACAUGCUGCAGGUCUCCAAUGAAAGAAUUUUGGGAGACCACGAGAAGCUCAUGGCCAAGCUUAAGAGGCGCCAUACUCUUCCUUCAGAGGCUUCCAGAACAUAAUGUAAUUUUAUAGAUUUUACAGGGCCUGCACCUUCAUUGCAGGUGAAAAAAAUCUAUCUGUUGUAUGUUCCUGUAAUAAUAAUUGCGCACAUUCUUAAACUUGCACCUGUGGUUUUUACGUCUUUUCAAAAUGACGGUUUGGAACCUUGUGCCUUAUAGAUUCAAAUAACCACAUCGAUUCUCCCAAAUUUCAUAUUUCAACGCAUGGUAGCCCGGAACUUUUGGCCUGGGCACAAACUCAGAAUUUAUUUGCCCUUUUCAAAUGGACAUAAAAUAUGAAUUGAGUAAAAGCCAUGAUAAUAUCGCAAUAUAGUAGUGAAGAGCAUUAACUACUAUAUACCCACAACUUCAAGUUUAGGAUCUCUCAUAUAUUUGGAUCCAUGGGCUUCCGGCCCAGAUAUAACAAAAUAUGUGGGGAGCCUCAAUUCAUUAUUUGAGGUUUAUAUUGAUAUUAUCCAUUUCGCGGUGUAUUCUUAACAACCGGAAUUCACAAAAUAUAUUUCUUCCUUGAGGUGUCGAUUAUAACAAAAUCGAACUUUAAAUUCAUCAUCUUCUUAUGCCAAAGAAAUAUGUGGCAUACCACAAUUUGCAAUAAUACCUCAAGGGUUGUCCAUUUAAUUGUUGGAACUUCAGGUUCUCAACACUGUUAAAUUUUAAACUUCAGGCCAAAGCCACAUAUUCUCAUGGAAUGGACAUUUUUACAAUUUUCUGUACAUAUUUCGGGACUUCAAGUCCUUACAUAAUUGUCCAUAUUUUGAGGAACUUCUGGUAUCUCAUUUAAUUGCUCAUCCAUGAGUUUAAGGAACUGCAGGUUCCCUUUUGUAUAUAGUGACGGUUUACCCAAAAUGGUCCAUAUUUAUGCAUACGUCACUAUUCAUGUGAAUAGUACUAUUCAUCAAGUCAUGAAUACGUAUCUAUUCAUCUGCCAGUACAAUUAUCAUCAAUGUGUACGGCACCAUGAACCAAUACGGUACUGUUACAUCAUUAAGGAACUCUAGGUCCUUAUUUACAUGUCAGGGAUCAAGGACACUUAAGUCCAAUCACAUGUUUACAAAUACAGUACCGGAGAGACUGCCAGCUUUCAUUUUAAUAUCAUCAUCAAGGAUCUUCAAGUCCUGAUGUAAUUGUAUGAUGAGGAUCAAGGAACUUCUGGUCCUGAUUUGCAUACUGUAAAAACUCAUCAUACAACACAAUUAAUCCAUAAAAUAAAUUGCUGAUAAAUAAAUUACUGGUAUGGACGAUAAACCCGCACCAUACUUUAAAUAAAUUAAAUAGCUUGCUGUAUGGACGUUAAUCCCGCACCAUACCUGAAAUAAAAUUAAAUGUGCGGUAAAGUAAACGUGCUUGUAUGGGCACUAAUUCUGCUCCAUACAUUUAAAUAAAAGUAAAGGCGUGGACGAUAAAACCGCACCACCCUUUUAAAUAGAUACUGUUGUAUGGGUAAUAAACCUACACCAUACAGUAAAUAAAAUAAAUGUGCGGUAAAUUAAAUUUCAUAAAGUAUGAGAGUCAAUUCCACAUCAUACUUUAAGUAAAAGUAAAUUUGCGAUAAAAUAAAGGCAAUUAUUUGUGGGUUCAUAUCAACACCACAAUCAGAUAAUAUAGUAGAUAAUAUUAUUAUCGUUUGUGGAAGGCAUCAUGAUUGUCUCUCAAAUAAAAAACUUUCCACCUGCAGAGCAAGUUAAAUAGUGUAGGAUAAUACUAAAGUAAUUGAAAGAUAAGGGUGCAGAAGACUUAUUGUUUUUUUCAGUGGGUUCUCUAUUCUCUCAGUGGGCAUGCCUGGCAAUAAUCAUUUGUUUCCUUUACUUUGCUUUCCACUAGGAUCAACUUGCUGUAUCCCACUUUUCCUCCUGCACACCUUUAAUCAAUAUAAUUAUAUAAUUAAAAUAAUAUCACACCUUCAUAAAAUAAUAUCAUUAUAGACUUGCACUAUGGCCGCCAUCAUCAUGAUCUUGCACAUGUUCAGCACCACGGAUAUGGUUCUUGGCCUUCAUGACUUUACGUUCCGGUGUCCAGAAGCUUGGCACAGUACUCUUGGUUGGUCUUAAGAUAUGGGUUUUGACAGGGAAUAAGAUGGAAACUGCAAUCAACAUAGGAUUUGCAUGUAGUUUGCUCCGACAGGGCAUGAAGCAGAUCUAUGUAUCAACAGCGAAUUUCGACAUGUUGGGACAAGAUAGCAAAGAGGCUGUUGUCCAUGAUUAGGAAUUCUUUCUUCUCUUGUAGCAACCUCUCCGAUCCUUGGCACCCUGCACCUUCCUUCCAUCCCCUUUGAACUCUUAGAGCUUCGCCAGCGCAAGACCCAACCCGGGGGAAAGGCCCCCUAGGCGAGCCCAAUGCAGCUCCAGCGCGAGGAAAACAGCCCGGGCAGCUGCUGGGUCCCACGAACCCGGGCAGGCCCAAGGGCAACUUCUGCCUGGGCUUCAGCCCGAGUUGGGUGACGACAUGCUGACGUCAGCCCUGACAGCACCAACGGGCAAGUGCCACGUGUCGCGACAGGGACGCUCCGAUGGUUUUUUUUCCAGAAAUCCGACGGUCCUCGUUUUUUUUGCUUAAAAAAUUGCAAAAAAAUUCUGAAAAAUUCUGAAAUUUUUUUAAAAAAAUACCAAAAAAUUCUGUAUUUUUUCCCUAUAAAUACCUAACCAUUUUAUUUACUUUCCACACAAAAUCUUCAUACAAUUAUCCAAAAAUAAUGGACACGUGACAACCAAAAAUAUUAUCCAAAAAUUUAAUUACAAAAGAUUAUCAAAAUUAAUGGUUUAAAGUAUUAAAAAAGAAAAAGAAAUAAAGUACAAUGAAUAGUAUUUGCCUUAGACUUGCCCUAGACUUAGCCCUCAUGGGUGGAACCACAAAUGGCAAGGCUGCCACUAUUCAUGUGAAUAGUGGCAGCCCUUGCUUGCCCUUGCCUUAGACUUUGCCCUUAUGGGUGGAGUUGCUCUUAGCGGAUAAAUGUCACCAUAAGUGAUUUUCCAAGUGAAGAACCUAUAUGGGUCUUUACCAUUAACGCCAUUAACAAGAAACAGAACCAAAACAAUGGCAAAAGAAAGAAGUUUGCACUCUCUCAUUUUCUGUUCCAGCAAACUAAAAUAAAUUAAAAAAAAAUGUUUCUUAUUCAGAUCUAUAGAGAGAGAGAGAGAGAGAGAGAGAGAGAGAGAGAGAGAGUUCAUAGCCUUGUUGUUCUUGGAUGUCUGUGAGGUGCAGGUGGCUGUUUGCAAGGGUGAGAUUAGCAGAGCCAGGAGCGAGAUCAUGGGCUGUAGCUCCCAAACUGGUUUGUUGGCGUCUACUGAGAGAUGUUGGUUUGGUGGACUUUGGCAGAGAGACUAUCACAUGCUCUCUGUGAAAGAAACAGAGCUUAUGUUUUUCUUUGUGUUUUCUUUGGCUGGGUUUCAUCAUAGAAUUCAGCUGGAAUUGUUGAAAGCGAAUUCGUGCUGAUAACGUGUUAUAAAUCUAGAGAAUUAAGGAGAGAAUUUGGGAGCAGAGAAUUGAGGAGAGAAAUGGAGGAAGCGGAGAAAAAACUCUACCCCUCUUUCAGAUUGUCUAUGUUUAUAUCAUUAACAAUGUGGGCCCCUUUCCAACAUGUGGGCUCCACACCAAAUAAUUUACAACAUGUAUUAAUUUUUGGUUCCCUCAAUUAUUGAGCUUGGGGUUAUCUAAAUGGGAAGUGUCCAAAUUUGAAUGACCCGAAUAGUUAAGCGAUUCGAGUUUACUAUUUAGGGUCUCGGUUAUGACUUAUAACUAGUUCAAAUUGAUAAAUCAGUCUACCGAGCACAUAAUGCGAUGCACUAAUGUUGUACUGACUUCUUGAAAACUAUAUGAUCUCCUGUGUCCUUAUGAAAAUGGUUACUUUAUUAGGUUUACAUCAACUAUUAAUUUCUCCUUAUGAUGGAAAUAACCUUGUUUCAGACGAUAGGCCUUCAAACUCAACUGUCAAAUUUCAAGAACAUCACUAAGUCAUUGAGGAAGAAACUAGGGAACGAAGAAGCCAAAUCUCUGCUAUCAAGAGCUGUUUACUUUUUCAGUAUCGGAAGCAACGAUUAUCUUUACCCGUUCGACACAGACCCAAGUGUGCUUGGAAACUACUCUCAUCAGGAAUAUGUAGAUCUGGUGAUAGGCAACAUAACUACAGUGGUCGAAGUAAAUUCUUAGCUCUUGAAAAGACAAAAAUGAUAAUCCUUUUUAUGCAUAUUAAUUACUAAUUAACAUUAAUUUCGACGUGUCUUGUGUUAGGGAAUCUAUGAGAAAGGAGGAAGAAAUUUUGCGUUGCUUAACCUCUGGCCUAUUGCAUGUCUUCCAUACGCAAGAGCACUUAAUCCGGAAGAAGGUGCUUGCUAUGAUGCAUUUACACCAUAUGUGAAACUACACAACAAAUCACUUCUCAAAGUCCUACAAACGCUAGAGAAAAAACUCAACGGAUUCAGAUUCUCAGUCUCCGAUUUUAAUGAGUUUCUGACACAAAGAAUGAAUCAUCCUUCUAAAUAUGGUAUUAAUUCUACCUAUAUACGCUUUGCUUUCUUAAUUUUGAUAUUGUUCUUUAAUUAAGUACUAAUUAUUGAACCGACCAUUUUGACAUUUAAGCCUUAUGAUAAAAUGUUGGAAAAUUAUAAGGUUUCGUGGAAGGGGAGGCGGCAUGCUGUGGAAGUGGUGUAUAUGGAGGAAUUUAUAACUGUGGAGGAAUGAGAAUUGCCAAAGAGUAUAAUUUAUGCAAGAAUGUCAGUGACUAUGUCUACUAUGACUCUGCUCAUCCAACCGACAGGGUCUACGAACAGUUUGCCAAGACAAUAUGGAGUGGAAAUUCCAUCACUACGCCUUACAAUCUGAAAACUCUAUUUGAAAAUUAGAGCGAAGUUUGAUUAUAGUAAAGGCAGAUGAUCCGAUGGUCAAUAAGCAAAUCAUUUGUACUUUUUUUUUAUAUUAUAUCCAAGUCACGGAUAUUUGUCCUUUUUAUUUUAAAUUGUGUGAUAGGUACAAUAAGAAAUGUUAAAGUGUGCUAUUUGUGAGUAUGAGAAUAUGGAAUUCGACUUAAUAAAUAAAAAAAUUAUACUCUUGGAUGAAAAUAUAUAAAUUUAUCGAGCAUUUUCAUUAUCAAUAGUAAAAUUAUUUAUUAUAUGUUGUAAUUUAUAUAAUCAAAUAUCCGAUGAAAUUUUAUAUUCUUUUAAAAUAUUACAUUUUUUUUCCUCUUUCAUCUAUAUAUUGUCAUUUUUACGAGUUCUUACAAUGUGAAAAUAUUGACUUUAAUAGCGUGACCGUAUCGUAAUUCAAAAUUAAGCUUAACUAUUGGGGAAAGAGAGCCAACAAUUGAUAUGAAAAGCUUUGUCUCAAAAGGUGCAGCCUUAGUAUUGAAUGUUAUAAAUGUGUAUGGUGGAAGGAGAGCCAACAAAUAAACAGAUGUUGAGCCUCUGCUGAAAUUAGUAAUUAGGUGGAAGGGGUAGAAUUCAAAAAAUUCUAAACAAGUUGUGACAACAAUACUCAAAUAUUCCUAACUAGUCAAUAAUUGUUUAUAGACAUAUUUACAAGCAAUAUAUAUACAGAUUCAAAUAAAAUACAUUCACAACACCUGCAAGGUUAAGAGAGAGACCUAAGUGACAACCUAGGCAUUAAGAAGCCAUUAAUUUUGGCAUUCUCAAUGUUAGCAACAAUUAGAGUGAUAAGUGUCUAAACAUCCAUCAAAAUCAUACACCAAUAUUGAACAAGUAUGACUAGUCAAGAUAACCAGAAUCAACAUUAGAAAUAUUCGCCAAGAAACCCACUAUUAGGAAAAAUUAGGGGUCAUCAUUAGAUUAGGAAAUCCACUAAACAAAGAAGAUUAUUAUAGGAAAAGGUUAUUACACGCUCAAGAAAUCCUAGAUCUAUUUAGAAAAACAACUAUACCUUACUGGGCACUCCCCCUCUCUCCCUAAAAACCCAUAUGAAAAAUGUAAACUAAGAAAGUUAGUAAUUCCAGGCCAAUCCCAACCUUUUGGGUAAAAUUUGGCAGGUCAAAGGGACACUUGGUAGCCAAUGGUUGGACUUAUAAAAAGCAAAAUUACGUGUCUUGAUUAAAAAUCUUGUGCUGAAAAUAUUUGGCAUGUAUGACUAGUCAUCUGGACAAAGUAUUUUGAUGCAGAUGCUAAUUUUUUCUAAUGAUGUCCAUUGUAAAUGAAUGUAUAAAUUACUUUGGUUUUGUAGCCACAUAAGCUCUUCAAUGUACUUCAACUUCCCCUGUAGCAAAUACCCAAGUUCUAAUUUCUAAAGAUGAGCCAAGAUGAAUUAUAUGAAAUUGCCCAUUUGACAAGGAAAUCCAAUUUUAAUAAUUCUAAUAUUAACAUCUGCAUUUAGUAUUGGUGUAUUUAUAGGCGUUAAAUAAAAGGGGGCUUUAGUUUUAAAACACAAUAUAGUUUACUAAUUUGGAAGAUAGUAAUACAAUUUCAUCUAAUUAGCAUAAGGCAAAAGACCAAAUUGUGGUACCUAAUUUUACAAAAAUAUCAUUAAAACAUAUCAAAAUUACACAUAAUGCCACUCCUUCUAAGGCAAGCAUACUAUGCCACAUGUCCAUAUCUAGCCAAUCAUAUCUCGCCGCCGGCCACCACUGCCGGAAUCCUGCCGCCGGCCACCACUGCCGGAAUCCCGCCGCCGGCCACCACCGCCGGACUUCGGCCGCCGGCCAUCACUGUCGGACUUCCGCUGCCGGCCACCUGCCACAACCACCGUUGGCCGCCACCGCCCGUCGCCGACCACCAUCGUCGGACUCCCGCCGCCGGCCACCUGCCACCACCACCGUUGGCCGCCAUCGCCUGCCACUGUCUGUAGAUGACCAACUCCGUUGCCCUUUAUUCACCUUUAAAAAAAAGAUUGUGUCAUUAAAUGUACUCGAACCUUGACCCUCAAAGGAGGAAGGCUCACUCACAAACCACUACACCAAACUUGAUUUUGAAAUAUUUAUUCAAUUAUACAAUAUUUAUAUAAACAAUCAAUGGUUUAUCAAAAAAAAAGGAAAAUUAGGUAUUAGACAUAAUUAUCUUUACUAAUUAGUAUUUGAGACAAACAGUAUUUCUGUUUUGAUUUUAAUACCAAGGAAUUGAAUUUUGUUUGGAUUUGGCCAAAGUGGAGACCCAAAUUCGUUGGCCCACCUUACAUUAAUCACUGAAGGGACAAUUAUACCCUUUUUAUUUAAAAGCCUGACCUAAAUUCAUUGCUCUCGCUCUCUCUCUCUCUCUCUCUCUCUCUCUCUCUCUCUCUCUCUCUCUCUCUCUCUCUCUCUCUCUCUCUCUCUCUCUCUCUCUCUCUCUCCGCAGCAACAACGACCACAUCGCCAUGAUCUGCGAUCAUCGAUCCAAGAUCGAGAGGUCGAUCUGCGAUGGAACUCUCAAACUGCUUGACCCGUGGCUCAUCCCUUUGACAUUCACCGACGACUCCAAGGUCUUCUAGCUCAAGAUGAAAGACAUUGUGAUUGCUAUCUUGCCGAGUUCAAGAUUGAUUGACUUACGGCUCCCUUCGAAUAACAAAGAUUAGAACAUCCAAGGUUCCAAUCUCCAGUUUUCGUGUAAUGUUUUUUUGUUAAUUGCUCAGAUCUUGUGAUAUUAUUUUCAUAUCAGACUUCACAUCAAUGUCAAGCCCUGAUAAUCUUAUGACUUGUGUUUUUCUCUCUCUUUGUGAAGCUUAUGAAAUUUGUUAUUUUAAGAAAUAUUGAACUGAUAUGGAUGCACAUUUAACUAGUGAUGUUACUUUUGUAUAAUUUUUUAUUUCUAUAGAAUUUCAGUCUUGUUUGUGGUUGGUGUUUUCUAUCCCUUCCACAUGUUCACCUCACACCUUUUAAUGAGAUUAUCCUUUUCUUUAGCCAGUAAUGGCUAGUCAUUGCUCUGAUAAGUAGGGCUCUUAAAGUGUAUCUUCGGGUACAGUUAUAUAUGAACUAUCACUUCCUCUUCCAAUUUGCUGUCAUUUCUUUUAAGUGAAAGUGGCUUCUCAAUUGGUCAUUUGUUUCUAUGAAUUGCUUAUUAAUUUUGUAUGUAACCUUCAUGUUAGAUUUUGCACGUUUGAAUUUUCAAGGCUUUUACGCUGCAAUCUUGGAGAAAGAUGAUUGUUGAUAUCUGUAGCAUCAAUCAAGUAGUACUGAAAUGAAGCUGUUUGUAGGGAGUCGAUUUUCCAGUUUUUCGUGUAAUGUUUCUUUUGUUAGUUGCUCAGUUCUUGUGAUAUUAAUUUCAUAUCAGACUUCACAUCAAUGUUUUGAUCUAUUGUUUAACUCUCCACCAUGCAUCCUUACUAUUUUUGUCGUUGAUAUCUAUUGUCAAUGGCCUUCAACCUCACCAAUUUGAAGAGUAGAGGUUACCCAGAUGAGGAAUUGGGUGGGCAAGAGAAGAGUAGAACUACCCAAGAGCAAGAUAACUCAAAAUUGGACUUUUGGAAACUGCUUUGCAGUUUUCAUUUAAUUACAAUUGGAUUUUUUGCUCUUUCCUUGGUAGAGAUACAUUGGAGGUUUUGCCCCGUAAUCCAUAGGUUGUUGGUUAUUGAGUUGUUAAGCUAGUGUUGAUUUGAUUCCCUUCUCUUUGUACUUGUGGAGUUUGCUAUCUAAAUUAUUUAGUUUGCAGCAAUGCAUAUUUCAAUUUUGUUUUGUUUCUAGCUAUAUUUUCAAUUUCGACCUGGAAACUUGAGAUCAUAUUGCGGUUCUUAGGAUAGAGAUGCUUGUUGUUUAUGACAUCACUGUCAUAUGAUAUUUUGCAAUACCAUUUAAGUUUUAGUUCAGUAAAAUUUUAUACAGGUUCUGCAUUAUAGUUUUGCACAAACUACAUUGCAGUUUCAGAAACUGCAUUGUAGUUUUGGAAACUGCAUUGCAGUUUUUGUAAUUACAAUUGGAUUUUUGCUCUUUUCUUGGCCUUCAAUCUCACCAAUUUGAAGAGUAGAGGCUACCCAUAUGAGGAAUUGGGUGGGCAAGAGAAGAGUAGAACUACUCAAGAGCAAGAGAACUCAAAAUUGGACUUUUGGAAACUGCAUUGCAGUUUUCAUUUAAUUACAAUUGGAUUUUUGCUCUUUCCUUGGUCUUCAACCUCACCAAUUUAAAGAGUAGAAGCUACCUAGAUGAGGAAUNNNNNNNNNNNNNNNNNNNNNNNNNNNNNNNNNNNNNNNNNNNNNNNNNNNNNNNNNNNNNNNNNNNNNNNNNNNNNNNNNNNNNNNNNNNNNNNNNNNNNNNNNNNNNNNNNNNNNNNNNNNNNNNNNNNNNNNNNNNNNNNNNNNNNNNNNNNNNNNNNNNNNNNNNNNNNNNNNNNNNNNNNNNNNNNNNNNNNNNNNNNNNNNNNNNNNNNNNNNNNNNNNNNNNNNNNNNNNNNNNNNNNNNNNNNNNNNNNNNNNNNNNNNNNNNNNNNNNNNNNNNNNNNNNNNNNNNNNNNNNNNNNNNNNNNNNNNNNNNNNNNNNNNNNNNNNNNNNNNNNNNNNNNNNNNNNNNNNNNNNNNNNNNNNNNNNNNNNNNNNNNNNNNNNNNNNNNNNNNNNNNNNNNNNNNNNNNNNNNNNNNNNNNNNNNNNNNNNNNNNNNNNNNNNNNNNNNNNNNNNNNNNNNNNNNNNNNNNNNNNNNNNNNNNNNNNNNNNNNNNNNNNNNNNNNNNNNNNNNNNNNNNNNNNNNNNNNNNNNNNNNNNNNNNNNNNNNNNNNNNNNNNNNNNNNNNNNNNNNNNNNNNNNNNNNNNNNNNNNNNNNNNNNNNNNNNNNNNNNNNNNNNNNNNNNNNNNNNNNNNNNNNNNNNNNNNNNNNNNNNNNNNNNNNNNNNNNNNNNNNNNNNNNNNNNNNNNNNNNNNNNNNNNNNNNNNNNNNNNNNNNNNNNNNNNNNNNNNNNNNNNNNNNNNNNNNNNNNNNNNNNNNNNNNNNNNNNNNNNNNNNNNNNNNNNNNNNNNNNNNNNNNNNNNNNNNNNNNNNNNNNNNNNNNNNNNNNNNNNNNNNNNNNNNNNNNNNNNNNNNNNNNNNNNNNNNNNNNNNNNNNNNNNNNNNNNNNNNNNNNNNNNNNNNNNNNNNNNNNNNNNNNNNNNNNNNNNNNNNNNNNNNNNNNNNNNNNNNNNNNNNNNNNNNNNNNNNNNNNNNNNNNNNNNNNNNNNNNNNNNNNNNNNNNNNNNNNNNNNNNNNNNNNNNNNNNNNNNNNNNNNNNNNNNNNNNNNNNNNNNNNNNNNNNNNNNNNNNNNNNNNNNNNNNNNNNNNNNNNNNNNNNNNNNNNNNNNNNNNNNNNNNNNNNNNNNNNNNNNNNNNNNNNNNNNNNNNNNNNNNNNNNNNNNNNNNNNNNNNNNNNNNNNNNNNNNNNNNNNNNNNNNNNNNNNNNNNNNNNNNNNNNNNNNNNNNNNNNNNNNNNNNNNNNNNNNNNNNNNNNNNNNNNNNNNNNNNNNNNNNNNNNNNNNNNNNNNNNNNNNNNNNNNNNNNNNNNNNNNNNNNNNNNNNNNNNNNNNNNNNNNNNNNNNNNNNNNNNNNNNNNNNNNNNNNNNNNNNNNNNNUAUCUCGCCGCCGGCCACCACUGCCGGAAUCCCUCCGCCGGCCACCACCGCCGGACUUCCGCUGCCGGCCACCUGCCACCACCACCGUUGGCCGUCAUCGCCCGUCGCCGACCACCACCGUCGGACUCCCGCCGCUGGCCACCUGCCACCACCACCGUUGGCCGCCAUCGCCUGCCACCGUCUGUAGAUGACCAACUCCGUUGCCCUUUAUUCACCUUUAAAAAAAAGAUUGUGUCAUUGAAUGGACUCGAACCUUGACCCUCAAAGGAGGAAGGCUCACUCACAAACCACUACACCAAACUUGAUUUUGUAAUAUUUAUUCAAUUAUACAAUAUUUAUAUAAACAAUCAAUGGUUUAUUAAAAAUAAAUAUAAAUAUAAAGCAUUUCAACACUUAUUCACACAAAAACUGCAAAUAAAAACAGAAACUGCAACAAAAAUAUAAUGUAGAUAUCAAUUAUGUUAAAAAAAACAAAAACAAAAACGAAAACAGCUACAAAAACAAUUGUAAUUAAAUGAAAACUGCAAUGCAGUUUCCGGUUUCCAAAAGUCCAAUUUUGAGUUCUCUUGCUCUUAGGUAGUUCUACUCUUCUCUUGCCCACCUAAUUCCUCAUCUAGGUAGCUUCUACUCUUUAAAUUGGUGAGGUUGAAGAUCAAGGAAAGAGCAAAAAUCCAAUUGUAAUUAAAUGAAAACUGCAAUGCAGUUUCCAAAAGUCCAAUUUUGAGUUCUCUUGCUCUUGAGUAAUUCUACUCUUCUCUUGCCCACCCAAUUCCUCAUCUGGGUAGCCUCUACUCUUCAAAUUGGUGAGAUUGAAGGCCAAGUAAAGAGCAAAAAUCCAAUUGUAAUUACAAAAACUGCAAUGCAGUUUCCAAAACUGCAAUGCAUAUUCCAAAACUGCAAUGCAGUUUCUGAAACUGCAAUGUAGUUUGUGCAAAACUAUAAUGCAGAACUUGUAUAAAAUUUUACUGAACUAAAGCUUAAAUGGUAUUGCAAACUAUCAUAUGACAGUGAUGUCAUAAACAACAAGCAUCUCUAUCCUAAGAACCGCAAUAUGAUCUCAAGUUUCCAGGUCGAAAUUGAAAAUAUAGCUAGAAACAAAACAAAAUUGAAAUAUGCAUUGCUGCAAACUAAAUAAUUUAGAUAGCAAACUCCACAAGUACAAAGAGAAGGGAAUCAAAUCAACACUAGCUUAACAACUCAAUAACCAACAACCUAUGGAUUACGGGGCAAAACCUCCAAUGUAUCUCUACCAAGCAUAAAAAAGUCACAAAUAAAAGAUAUCAUGAAAAUGUAAAGUAGUUACUAGUCAAAACCCAGGCAUCAAAAUUCUGUAAACCAGUAAAGAAUCACUGGUGAAACCCAUAGAUAAAUGAAGGUGUCAAAUAGCAGUAAACAUCUAGCAUGUAAUAAAAAAAUGCAACAAACAGAAACUUCAAUGCAGUUUAUGAAAAAAAUAUGCCCAAAAGUGAAAAGAAACCAAAAGGCAAAGCCAUGAUCAAAGUACUAAAACUAAUUUCAAAACACAUAUAAGUAGAUGAGCAGUUGUAAUAUUCCCAUAGACUUGGAAAAAUUAUUCUAAAAUCGAAAUAUGGAACAGGAAACUGCACUGCAGUUUCUUAUCAAAAAUUGCAACAACGGAACUAUAAUGCAUUUUAUGACAAAACAUCUGCCCAUGUUUGCAUAGAAACCAAAUGGCAAAGCCAUAAUUAAAGUACUAAAACUCAUUUCAAAGCACAUUUAAGUCGAUGAACAAUCAUAAUAUUCCCAUAGACUUGCAAAAAUUAUUCUAAAAUAGAAAUAUGGAACAGGAAACUGCCCUGCAAUUUCUGAUCAAUCUACUACAACACUAACAAAACAACAACCCAAAAACUUCAUGAAAACAAGCAUUGAAUGACAGUUGCAAAGGAAUAUCCACUAAUGAAACAAUUGCAUAAUUUUCAUUAACUUCAAAAAAAUACCUCAGCAGCAGAAAAAUUGAGCUUCACAUCAAAAUUUGAAUAAUGCAAUAGAAGAAGAAGAUCGAAAAAUAUACUGCAAUUUCUAGAAAAAUCAAAAGUUCUCGUAUGUGCAAAGAAAACUGAUGAGACCUUAUAUGUACAAGUAAAAUAACAAAUUUUAAAUUUUUUAAAUUUUAAAAUCCAUAAAUUAAAUAAAAAUCAUCCUUAGUGGCAUCACUUACAUCUACGUUGCAUACAAAAGAAAAUAGAAGAUAAAAAAAAUAAUAAAGCAGGUACAAUCAUCAACAAGCAGCAAUCAAGAACUUAAGAAAAUACAAUCAUCAACUAGCAAAAAAUUCUAGUAAAAUAAGUACAAAAAUAAUAUAUGAAAAUUUCUACUAAAAAUAAAUUAUAUAUGGAAAGCAUUGACAAAUUAGGGAUUCACCUUCUGAUUUGCUUUAUUUCUUCUUGCAAUCAUUUCAUGGCUUGAAAUUCCAAGUACUUUGUAAUAUGAGAGAGAUGGUGUGGCGUGGAGUGGAGAGGAUCAGAGAGAGCACACAUUUUGACCUUGGCAAAGGAAAGAAUAAGUUGUAAAGAGCGAAGAAACAAUUUGGGCAAAGAAAAAAAAUAAUCAAUUUGGCAAAGAAGAGAAUAAUCAAUUUGGGAAAAGGAAUGUUGAACCUUGGUUACCUGGGAGAGGAGAGCACGCCUUCUUGUUUGUUGGGAACUUGGGAGAGGAAAACAACCUGUUGGAAACUUGGGAGAGGAGACCAACGUCUUGUUAGGAACAAAAACUCUGCCUACAACCAUCUUGUUUAUCUUGAUCUCCUGCAAAGAGAGGCCAAAGAGAGAUGAGGAGGCUGUGGAGUCGGCGAGGUCGAUGACCUAAACUCUCGUGAGGUUAACCUCAACUUCCAGCAGAGAGAGAUUGAUGAAAGAGAUCUAAUUUUGGUCAGGUUUUUAAACAAAAAGGGUAAAAUUGUAUUUUAACUUUGUAAUUUAGACAGGCCAACGAAUUUGGGCCUUCUCUUCGGCCUAAUCCAAAAUAACAAUUCUUUCUUAGGUAUUAAAACCCAAACAAAAAUACCCAAUAUCUCAAAUACUAAUUAGUAAAGUUACUUAUGUCUAAUACCUAAUUUUUCUUAAAUAAAAUCAUGAACUUUCCUCUCCUUUUUUUUUUUUUUUUUUUUUGAGCGGAUGUACUUUCCUCUUUUGUAAUAGUUGACUGCUACUAGGAUUAUUCUCUAACCGUAUGUAAAACUUCCUAUAGUUACAUCCUGUAUAUAAUGUAUUUCAUACAUAAAUCAAAUCAUUGAGGAAUUCAGCCAAAUCUUCUCUCUUCUUUACCCUUCUACAAACUCCAAUGAGAUAUUUUGACAGCCUGUGCGAGUAUUAUGUUUAAUGGGGCCUCAAGCUUAAAAGUAGGAUUUUAAUUUCAUAGUUUAUUAGCCAUGUGUUUUGCACCUGCAAUAGCGUAAACAUGAUUAGCCCCAUGUGGUUCUUAUUACAAUGUUUAACUAUAGUCACGUGUUUCAAGAGCUGAAUAGUAUUAGCUAAAGUUGUUAUAGCUUAAAAUCUAAGGACCAAUUUUUGUUUGGGUACUUACUGUUUCUAUAGUUUUUCUAGAAAUAUAUUAAAGUACAGAUUGGGAUAAAAUAGUAAAAGGUUGAGAGUUAAAAUCAUGUGUUUAUUAAGAGAUUAUUUUAUUAAUUGAGCAAACAAAUUAAAUAUAAUAUGAUUAUAUGCCUACAAAAAUUGAGUAGACAAUGGGUUACAAAACUACAUUUGAGUGGGCUACUAAGUUUUUAUAGGAUGAAUAACAUUAAAAUAUAUGUAAUAUAUUUUAAUUUGAUAAAAAAGCUACCUAUACCUAGUUCCGCCCAUGUUCAAGUAGACAAAGUGAUCUUCACACACUUUAAUCCUUGACCAAAUAUACUUAUGACUAGUCAACUGUCAGACAUGAAUCACCACAAACAAGAACAUACACAGGGCAUAUUAAUAUGUACCUGCAAGCCAAGAGAAUUACUAGUGACAACCUAAGCACUCAGAAGGACCCGUCAAUCUAUGCAUCCUUUGUGCUAGCAACAGCUAUGGUGAAAAUGUGUGAAGGCUUCAUAAUUAAGUAAACACCAAACAACAGAAAAUGAUGACUAGUCAACCGCAAGAACACAAACCCAGAAAUACAUGAACAUUAUGCGAUGACUAGUCAACUGUCAAGAAUAUAAACCUAGAAAAUUACAGAGAUGCAAACCAUAAAUUGUUCACCCAAAAACCCACCAUUGGGAAAAAUUGGGAGUCAUCAAUAGACUAGGCAAUCCACUAAGCAAAAAGAUUCUUACAAAUAAAUACUAGAGCAAGCUCAACAAAUCCUAAGUCUAUUUAGGAAGAUGAGCUAUACCUCCUUUGUGCAAUUUUUGACUUUUAUCAAAAUUCCAAAUUUAUUUCCCUUAUCCAAACAUACCACAAGAGUUAUCAUUUUCGAAAUUGUGUAAAAAAUAUAUUGAUGAUGUGAUGAUGUGAUAAUGUAAAAUAUUUGUUUGUCAGCUUUAUGCAUAUUAUUAUUAUUAUUAUUAUUAUUAUUAUUCCUUACGAAAAAACGAUGAUGUUCUUAAUUAUUGUUUUUGAUUUACAGACAAUGAUCGUUUUAAUUUUUAACUUGUUUUGGAUUUAAUUUUUAAUUCAGGUGCCCCUAUAAAUAUGAAGUGAAGCUAGAUGAGGUGAAGAUGCAAUUAGUUAAUAGACAGAUAUGGCAAAUAUAAGGUAUAUCCAAAUCUUGGUCUUUGCCUUGUGUUCAAGCCUUCUCAUUAUCACAACCCAAAGCCAUGGCCAUUCUGGGUUGCCAAAAAGACAUGCACCUCUUUUCAUACUUGGGGAUUCAGUCUUUGAGGCUGGAAAUAAUAACUACUUUAACACUACAGCCCGGGCAAAUUAUAAGCCAUAUGGUGAAACCUACUUUAAGUACCCAACUGGGAGAUUUUCUGAUGGUCGUCAAGUUCCAGAUUUUAUUGGUAAGAUAUGAAUCUUUUUAUUUUUUAAAUUUAUAUUUUUAUAAAGAUAUAUAAAGAUAUAUAUAUGAAAUAUGACUAGACAUUACUUUAUAUUGUUGCAGCUCAGUAUGCAAAGUUGCCACUGAUUCCACCAUAUCUACAGCCCGAUUUGCAUGAUCUUUCAUAUGGUGUCAACUUUGCAUCUGCAGGAUCUGGUGCUUUGGAUGGAACUCGCCAAGGAUCGGUAUGUGACAUAUUUGUUUCACGGUUACGACUAUUGACAUAAUGUGAUUCACUAACCAACUUCUUGAAAACUAUAUGAUCUCCUGUCCAUAUGGAAAUGGUUACUUACUAUUUUUCAUAUAAAAUACAUCAACUACUUCUCUUUUAGAUGGAAAUCAUCGCUUUGAACCUUGUUUCAGGUGAUAAGCCUUAAAACUCAACUGUCAAAUUUCAAGAUCGUCAGGAAGUCGUUGAGGAAAAAACUAGGCGAUGAAAAAGCCAAAUCUCUGCUAUCAAGAGCUGUUUACUUUUUUAAUACUGGAAGCAACGAUUACCUUUUCGCAUUCGACACAGACCCAACUGUGCUCGGAUCCUACUCUCAACAGGAAUAUGUAGACCUGGUGAUAGGCAACAUGACUGCAGUGGUCGAAGUAAUGAAAUCUUAGCACUUCAAAAAAAAAUGAAAAGAAAAUCCUUUUAUGCAUAUUACUAAUAAACAUUAUUAAUUUCGAUGUCUUGUUUUAGGGAAUCUAUAAAAGAGGAGGAAGAAAUUUUGCGUUGCUUGACCUCUGGCCUAUGGCUUGUCUUCCAUACGGAAGAGGAACACUUCAAAAAAAAGGUGCUUGCUUUGACACAAUUACACCAUACGUGACACUACACAACAAAGGACUUGCCAAUGCCCUACAAAAGCUGGAGAAGAAACUCGAGGGAUUCAGAUACUCAUUCAUCAGUUCUAAUGAGUUUCUGACAAAAAGAAUGAACAACCCUUCUAAAUAUGGUAUUAAUUCCUUCGUUAUACAUGGUUUUGAUGUCAUUAAUUAUGUUAAUUACUAUUUAUUUAAGCGACCAUGUUUUUGUUUUGUGAUAAAAUUUUUGGAAAAUUGUAAGGUUUCGUGGAAGGAAAGGUGGCAUGCUGUGGAAGUGGUCCAUAUGGAGGAAUUUUUAACUGUGGAGGAAUGAAGAUUUCAAAAAAGUAUAAUUUAUGCAAGAAUGUUAGUGAAUAUGUCUUCUUUGAUUCUUCUCAUCCAACCGAGAGGGUCUAUGAACAGUUUGCCAAGAAAAUAUGGAGUGGAAAUUCCAUCACUGCGCCUUACAAUCUGAAAGCACUAUUUGAAAAUUAGCUGAGGGGAUGAUCCGAUGGUCAAUUAGCAAAUAAUUUGUACUUUUUGAAAGAGAGACAACAACUCAUAUGUCAAGCUUUGUCUCAAAAUAAGAUGCAGCCUUUGUAUUGAAUAUUAUAAUUGUAUGGUGGUGGAAGGAGAGCCAACAAAUAAACAUUAUUUCAUAUGGUAACGUUUUGUUAACUUUGUCUCAAAAGGUGCAGAGCCUUAUGGAUGGGCCUGUCACCUGUGAGCGUCUUUGCGACAUAUCUAGAUGGGCACCAUGCUUUUGGUUUAGGAGAGAUUCUGGAGAUAGCAAAUUAUUAUCUCUAGCUAAUAAUGCAAUAAUAUGUGGGAUAACUUUUUUACUUGUCAUUGUGUUAUUGAUCUUUGGUACAAAUUUUUUUUUUCCAUGCGUAUCAAGUGCACCUCAACUCUAUGCAAUAACGCAGAAUUUAACACAAAUAAUUGUCUAAACUACUCUAAAUUAAUUUGAGAGAUUCGAACUUAAGUGCAAAAUGGUUGGCUCACUGCACUGGCCACUGGCAUUACCCCACGAGACCACAUCUGCUAUAUAUAUCUUCAAUUUUAAAAGAAUGAAGGACAUAAGCUAAAUACAAACACAUAGAAUGCAAUGAAAAAGAAAAGUUCUUUGAAUCAAAUCUGAAUAAUUGUAAUCAAUCCCAAAAUAGCAUUAAUUAGUCCUUGCACUUCCCACAUCAAAUCCAAUCGAGAUCUUUUGACAGAGGUGGAGGAUUCUUUUUGAUGGAAGCAACAAGCUUGAAAGUAUAGGAUUUUAAUUCCAUAGUUUAUUAGCCUUUUUUAUUUUUUUAUUUUUUAUUUUUGGUUCUCUCAACAACGUGGCUGUGGAUCUCAUCACAGUAUUUAAUUAGCCAUGUGUUCCAGCAGGUCGUUAUUGUAAACCUGAUUAAUUAGUAUUUAUAUGGACUUAUCAUUUUGGACAUCAGAAGUUGUGAUCAUAAUGUAAAAUAUUCGUUUGCUUUUCGUAUAUUAUUAUUCCUUACAGAAAACGACGAUUUAUGCACAUUUUGAUCCUUUAAAUUUUUUUAAACGGGAGAUAUAGUAGUUGUUUACUUGUUUUGGGCGGCAAAUUUUAUUUUAUGCUCUGCCUUGAGAUGCCCCUAUAAAUAUCAACUGAAGCUAGAUGAGGUGAAGAUGCAUCUAAUCUAAUAGAUAGAAAUGGCAAAUAUCCAAGUCUUUGUCUUUGCCUUGUGUACAAGCCUUCUCAUUAUCACAACCCAAAGCCAUGGCCAUUCUGGGUUGCCAAAAACACAUGCACCCCUUUUCGUAUUUGGGGAUUCUGUCUUUGAGGUUGGAAAUAAUAACUACUUUAAUACUAGUUGGCAGGCAAAUUAUUCGCCAUAUGGUGAAACUUUCUUUAAGUACCCAACUGGGAGAUUUUCUGAUGGUCGUCAAGUUCCAGAUUUUAUUGGUACGUAGAAAAUUUGAUAUGAGUGUUUUUUUAUAUACAUAUCUGAAAUAUUACUAGACAAAUUUAUUGUUGCAUUGCAGCUGAGUAUGCGAAGUUGCCAUUGAUUCCACCAUAUCUACAGCCCGACAAUCAUGAAUUUUCAUAUGGUAUCAACUUUGCAUCUGCUGGAGCUGGUGCUAUGGUUGAAACUCGCCAAGGCGCGGUAUGUGAAGUGUUUUUGCAAGAACCUGGGUGCAUCUUAAGUUAAAGUUGUCGAAAAGACAGGUUUUCUGGGUUAGUUGAGCGAUUUGAGUUUAAUAUUUAGGGUUCACGGUAUUGCUAAUUGACACAUAAGUCUACCGAGCACAUAAUGCGAUUCGCUAAUGUGUCGUACUGACUUCUUGAAAAUUAUGAUCUCCUGUCCAUACGAAAAUGGUUACUUAUUAGGUUUACAUCAACUAUUUCUCUCUAUGAUGUAAAUAAUCACUUUGAACCAACCUUGUUUCAGGUGAUAGGCCUUCCUUCUCAACUGUCAAAUUUCAAGAUCGUUAGGAAGUCCUUGAGGAAGAAACUGGGCAAUGAAGAAGCCAAAUCUCUGCUAUCAAGAGCUGUUUACUUUUUUAGUAUUGGAAGCAACGAUUACAUUUUCCCGUUCGACACGGACCCAAGUGUGCUUGGAUCCUACUCUCAUCAGGAAUAUGUGGACCUGGUGAUAGGCAACAUAACUUCAGUGGUCAAAGUAAAUUCUUAGUCCUUGAAAAGACACCCCCCCAAAAAAAUAAAUAAAUAAAAUCCUUUUUAUGCAUAUUAAUUACUAAUUAACAUUAGUUUCGAUGUCUUGUGUUAGGGAAUCUAUAAGAAAGGAGGAAGAAAUUUUGCGUUGCUUAACCUCUGGCCUAUUGCUUGUCUUCCAUACGCAAGAGCACUUAAAACGGAAAAAAAAGGUGCUUGCUUUGAUGAGUUUACACCAUUUGUGAAACUACACAACAAAGCACUUGCCAAAGCCCUACAGAAGCUGGAGAAGAAACUCAAGGGAUUCAGAUACUCAAUCUCCGAUUUUAACGAAUUUUUGACACAGAGAAUGAACCACCCAUCUAAAUAUGGUAUUAAUUCCAUCUAUAUAUGCUUUGUUUUCUUAAUGAUCUUAUUAAUUAUACAUGGUUUUGAUAUCAUUAUACUAAAGCAACUAUGUUUUUGUUUUGUGAUAAAUUGUUGGAAAAUUGUAAGGUUUCGUGGAAGGGGAGGCGGCAUGCUGUGGAAGUGGUGUAUAUGGAGGAAUUUAUAACUGUGGAGGAAAGAGGAUUGCCAAAGAGUAUAAUUUAUGCAAGAAUGUUAGUGAAUAUGUCUUCUAUGACUCUGCUCAUCCAACCGACAGGGUCUACGAACAGUUUGCCAAGCAAAUAUGGAGUGGAAAUUCCAUCACCGCGCCUUACAAUCUGAAAGCACUAUUUGAAACUUAGCUAAGUAAGAUUAUUGUAAAUGCACAGAUGAUCUGAUGCCCAAUAUAAAUUUGUACUUUUUGAUCCAAGCCACGGAUUUUUUUUCUCUUUGAUCUUAAAUUUUUGUGAGAGUUAUAAUAAGAAUGUUAAAGUGUACCUUUUGUGAGUAUUGAAAAUAAGGAAUAAUUUCCACACAAAAAAUUUAUACCCUUGAAUGAAGAUAUAUAUAUUUGAGCAUUUUCACUUGUAUACUGUCAACUUCAUGGGUUCUGACAAUGUUGAACCAGGUUGAUAUCAUAUUAACUGCAAGAUUGUAAACCUGAUUAGUAUUUAUUGUCUUGUUUUGCCAAAUGGUUAUUAUUUUAGGUUUGCUCAACCAGGCUGUUUGUGGAUCAUGACAGUAUUUUAUUAGCCAUGUUCAACCAGAAACCGGGAUGUCAUUAUGUCAUAGUUUAUUAGCCAUGUGUGUUUAGAACGGAGGGAGAAAUUAUGAAAAAGGAUGUCAUCACAUACACUGGCAGAUGCAGAAAUUUUUUAGCGGAGAUGCAAUACAGAGAGUGAAAGGACCCACCCCGAAUUUUCCAAAGCCCGAGGUGAAUCCUGUGAAAAUUCCCGACAUCACCCCGAUGUCGGGCCCACUUCUAAAGUUAUACCCUUUUUUCCAAAAUGGAAUAAGGGUACGAGACUUUCUGCCGAAAUUUCGACAGAGUCUCCCCUGUAAAUUGAACAUUUCCCAAAAUUACAACUUGCAUAAAAAUACAUUUAAUAUCCACAACUGGCAGCAUGCACAAUAUAAUUUCAUGCAAUUCACAUAAACGGCCUUCGGCCUUCCAAUAAUUCUCAACUACCAAGCAUGUUAGCAAAUCAAUUCAUGCCUUAAACAAGGCAACCGAUAAAUUCAAAUAUAAAUUACGACUACUAAAUCUCAACAUACAUCAUCUAACUUUUUCAAUUUCAACAUACGAGGUUUUAACCUCCUAACACAAUCACAUCUAUGUCCGCGGCUGCACCUAAUAACCUUAGGCUGCCUACGUACCCUCCCUGAGGGAUCAAACCACACGUAGUUCUUCCUUAAAACCCAAUUCCACACAUAAGCAAUAUCUUAUUUCAUUUCUCUGUAUUUCACAUAAUCGCCGGUACUACCAACGCCACGUAUGAGGCCUGUCAACACGCCGGAUAACCUACGCCACGUGCGACCAUACAAUACUAUCACAAUAUCUCCUCAUACGCCAGUACAACCAACGCCACGUAGGGGCCUGUCUCAACACGCCGGAUAACCUACGCCACGUGCGACCAUACUAUACUAUCACAAUAUCUCCCCAUACGCUGGUACAACCAACGCUACGUAUGGGGCCUGUCAACACGUCGGAUAACCUACGCCACGUGCGACCAUACCAUACUAUCAUAAUAUUUUCCCAUAUGCCGAUACAACCAACGUCACGUAUGGGGCUUGUCUUAACGCCGGAUAACCUACGCCACGCGAGACCUGAACAUCAUAUCACAAUAUCUCCCCAUACACCGGUACAACCAACGCCACGUAUGAGAUCUGUCGACACGCCGGAUAACCUACGCCACGUGCGACCCCAACAUACUAUCACAAGAUCUCCCCAUACGCCGGUACAACCAACGCCACGUAUGGGGUCUGUCUACACACUAGAUAAUCUACUCCACGUGGGACCUAACUUUCACAGGGUGGUACUUGUAGUGUAACCAAAAUCCAGGGAAGUACCUAUGAUAGUACGUAUAACACUUCAAACUGACAUUCUAGACACCUUUUAUACUUUUACAAACGUAUAUAAAUAUAUAAUUUACUUCUAAUAUUGUGUAAACCUCAACAAUAGUCUAGCACCCGAUAAUUCCCCUGGGAAGGUGAGAUUACUCCGGGAGACUCACGGUCAACCAAGGGUCAAACUACCCUAACCCUGGUCGAACGGGCCCAUGGGACCCACGACCUCCAAAUUCCGAUCCGAAAGUUCCUAUGGGUUCUACGAGGGAUAGGACACUCGUCCUGCAAGUUUGGUCCAGAUCGGACGGUCAGAUCGCUCACGAUCGCACGAUCUGACAGUUAUUAUAAAACAUAAACUUUAAAUUAUUAAAUCGGAACAUUUGGGGCUCCGAUUCACAAUCCUUGAAUUCCUACAUGAUCUUAGAAAUACUUAGAUUAACAUAUAUUAAAUUUGAGACCAUCCAACGGUCCUAACCUAUAGAACCCGAAUGACAUGCAAUAGGCGAUAUCCGUUCGAUAGUCAAACGAUGUCCGAAUUGAGAUCUGCAAAAUCCUACGCACUCAUGAUAGCCUAAGGAUCUCAUCGAGACACAGUGCAACUUCACUACCCCCGCCCACGCGCCGCUACACCCGCCGGCAGCGCUGGGUGCCCAGAGCGAUUAUGCAUCACCGGAAAAUCUCAAAACCACGGCUCCAAACUCCUACCCUAGGCAUAACACCCUAUUUGGAGCCAUUUUUGUUCUUGGACCUACCCCAAAAACUGACCGAAAGUGGACGGAAUCGCAAUCCCAAAAUCGACCGAAUUUCAAUUCGAAAAUCGAAUUACCUACGCUAAGAAUCAAUCGAAUCCUACACAACAAGCAGCUAGAGCAUGAAGAAUGGAUGAAUUUCCAUACCUUGAUUGCCAAGCAAAAUCAAGCAAAAAAUCUCAUUUUUCUGGCGGCUGGAGCGGGCGGGGGGAUGUUCAGGCGAGGGGCUGGGUCGUGACGCCGAGGCCAAGCAGAUCCUUUUUGGCAUCGGUCUUGUCCGCAGCCGCUGCCGGUGGCUGGAGAUUCGAGGAGAGAGAGAGAGAGAGAGAGAGAGAGAGAGAGAGAGAGAGAGAGAGAGAGAGAGAGAGAGAGAGAGAGAGAAAUCUGAUUUUUUUAUAAAAAUUCCAUUUUGAAAUAAUUACGAUUGUGCCACUGGGUUUCUUUUGACCAUAUCUCUCUCGUUACAACUUCGAUUCGAGCCCACUAUGUGUCUACGAACUCAUCUCAGUACAACCUAUCCAAAAAUACUAGUCACUGCCCCAAACUCUCUCUAGGUAAGAAAAUGACCAAAAUAUCCCUAUCCUAAGGGUAAAUUUGUAAUUUUACUUAAAUAAUUUAAAUAACGGGUUAAAUUUGGAGUCGGGGUGUUACAUAGAGAGCUAAAUAAGAAUGCUUUAGGCCCCAUUCUCUGCCCUCAUAGUUUUGUUUAUGGGAACUCACGAGUAACUUCCCAGUGGGUCACCCAUAUUGGGAUUGCUCUAGCUCCAACUCGCUUAACUUUGGAGUUCCAAUGACUCCGAAGUCAAUGAGCUCCCAAAAGGUCUCGUGCUAGAUGGAGGCGGGCAUGUACAUAUAAGGCACAUCACCAUUUCUCCGUUGGUUGAUGUGGGAUGUUACAAUCGAACCCCCUUAGGGGCCCGACGUCCUCAUUGGCACACUCGCACCACAUUACAUAGUGGCUUUGAUACCAAAUUGUCACAUCGCGGGAUCGGAUCUGCCGUAGCAUGAUGUUGUCUCCUUUGGCCCCCCUCUCUGCUCUCAUGGUUUUGUUUUUGAGAACUCGCGAGCAACUUCCCAGUAGGUCAACCCAUCUUGGGAUUGCUCUAGCCCCAACUCGCUUAACUUUGGAGUUCUCAUGACUCCAAAACCAAUGAGCUUCCAAAAGGCCUCAUGCUAGAUGGAGGCGGGUAUGUACAUAUAAAGCACAUCACUCAUUCCCGGUUGGUCGAUGUGGGAUGUUACAACAUAUAUAGUGAAUGGGCUUGUAUGCCUCCUAGAAUUAUAUGGUUUUGUGUCCCUUAAGAUGUGAACAAACAUUGACUUAAGAGUCAGAGUAUUUUCUUGCAGGGUACCUGCCUUUUUCCUCAUUGGUGGCAAAUGAUGAAUAGGAGAACUCUCUAGUCAAAUGUUUGGUGGCCUAAAAACAACAUAGAUUGCCAAUGGGUUCCCACCACAGUGGUGAUGGAUUCCCCCUCCCCCUAUGGUACUCAAGAUAGAACCCCAGUGGUGUUUCUUUCUUCCAAAGUAACCAAAAAAAAAAAAUAUGGAUUGGAAUAUGUCUAAUCCUACUAGGGCCAAAUGUACUUAGUAGGAUUAUGAAUCCUAACAAAAUGUUGGGAUUAAGUUGGAUUGGAUUAUAUCUAAUCCUUCUAAGCCAUGUAAUAGCACAUUUCAAUUAUCCAACCCUUUAAUCAUGUGUAGUACCAAACACAUCAUUUGAUUAGUGUUAUCAUUUCCAGUCAAUUGUAAUCCAAUUAAUCCAAUCCAAUUUUACCUCAUAUCCAACCCCAGUCACCAAAAAUAAUCCUAGACACCAAGGAUUUUAUACUAUAUGUAUUAAAAAGGUUGAGAAAAAGGCGAGCGGCAGGGGCAUCUUCAACCCCUAGGGGAAGUUUUAUUUCAUAGUUUAUGAGCCAUGGGUUCGGCAACUGCAAUAAUGUAAAGCGUGAUUAGUAUGUCUUUUAUUUUUUAGCAAGGGUUUCUACUAUAUUUUAGUAUUUUUGAUUGACGUAUUGGUUGAGAAUCUAUUCUAUUGCCAUUCGUGUAUGGACAAGAAACUUUAACACAAUCUAUUUUUUAGCUAGGGUUUCUACUAAAUUCCAGGGUCACAGCUGUUCUGACUAAGCCCAAUAUGUGCAAUAAAGUUUCAGCCAUCUAUAAAGCUAAACAUGAUACAAUACAAAGCAUAACAGAACUACGAGCUAGAAUGGCAGCUAUCAGGUUUCAAAUCUAUAUCUUGGCUUUCUGUGCAGGCCUUGUUAUUCAAAGCAGCUGCUGCAAUGGCCAUUCUGGGCUUCAGAAAAAACGUGCAGCCCUGUUCGUCUUUGGUGAUUCACUAUAUGAUGCCGGAAAUAAUAACUACAUAAACACUACCACUGAUUUCCAGGCAAGUUGGUUUCCAUAUGGCGAAACAUUCUUCAGGUACCCAACUGGUAGAUUUUCUGAUGGGCGUACUAUCCCAGAUUUCAUUGGUAAGAAUAAUUCUGGGAGUUCUAUUGUUAUUUUCAACAUCACACUUGUUUCAGUCAUUUCUUGAAAGUUGAAACAACUUAAUUUAGUGCUAACUCAAAGCCACUGAUAAUACAAACACAUUACAUUCAUGUUGCAGCUGAGUAUGCUAAGUUGCCAUUUAUACCAGUAUAUUUACAACCAGGGCUCAACGACUAUACUUAUGGGGUGAACUUUGCUUCUGGUGGAGCUGGUGCUCUAGUUGAAACCUAUCAAGGAUCUGUAUAUGUUCUGGCUUAUCAUAUAUUUUCCAUUAUUAAGACGUUUAGUUACAGUUGCAGCAUCUGAAUAUGUAUUUUCAUCGUGUGAGUAAUUCGUGUGCUUGUCCAUUAGCAAGACUUGUUUGUGUGAUCUCUUUUUUUUUUUUUUUUUUUUUUUUCUUUCAGGUGAUGGACCUUAAAACUCAAAUGAGUCAAUUCAAGAAGGUGGAGAAGCAGUUGAGACAGAAACUAGGUCAUGCAGAAGCCUACACAUUGGUAUCCGAAGCUGUCUACAUAAUCAACAUUGGAAACAAUGAUUAUGUUUCCCCAUUAGCAACCAAUACCAGCCAUGAAGAAUAUGUUGACUGGGUUAUUGGCAACCUGACAAGUUGGAUAGAAGUAAUAAUCAUAACUUUUAUUUUGGAUAAGUAACUUCAUCCAAAAUUAUGAAUCCGGAAAGAUCUUUUGGAUGAGUAACUUGAUAUACAUUUUGUCAGGAUAUAUACCAGAAAGGAGGAAGGAAAUUUGCACUUUCAAGCUUGGCACCUUUCGCUUCUAUGCCACUCAUGAGAACAACUCAACCAGCAGGAUCCACCGCAGGCCCUUCCAGGAAAGAAGUUGCAGCACUUGUGAAACUACACAAUAGAGUACUUGCUAAAGUCCUCCUAAAGUUGAAAAAAGAGCUCCAAGGAUUUAAAUACUCAAAGCUUAAUCUCUACACUUACCUAAAGGAAAGAAUUAAUCAUCCAUUAAAAUAUGGUAUGCAUAGCCAUGGCAUGAUGGCACCUUCUCUCUCCUCUGAGUUAUAGUCUCUUUUUAAUGUUCCUUUUGUUUUUAUUGUGUUGUAAAGGUUUCAAGGAAGGAAAGAUGGCGUGCUGUGGCUCUGGUGCAUACAGAGGAAUUUAUUCCUGUGGAGGGAAGAGAAGUGUGACUGAGUAUCUGUUAUGUGACAAUGCUACUGAGUUCGUCUUCUUUGACUGUGCCCAUCCAACUGAAAGGGUUAACAAGCAAUUGUCCAAGUUAUGGUGGAGCAAUAACUUGAAGGAGCUAUUUGAAGUUUAGACAAAAUGUGGCUCGAUACUUUCAUAAGCAAUUGCAGACCCAAUUUCUGUUUCGAAAUAAAUUAAAAGUUUGAUAUGUUACCCGUUAUUUAAGUAUUCGUAACUUUCUCAGAGAUGUUUUUGCUUUUUCCGAAAUUAAUAAAGCCUGUAAGACAUGAAGAAUAAAUACUAAUAAAGCCGGUAAGCAAAUUGUUAGAGUUAUUGUCUUGUUUUGACAAAUGGUUAUUAUUUUAGGUUUGUUAAACUAUUUGUUUGUGUUCAGAAAGGAAGGAUAAAUUAUGAAAAUAAGGAUGCCAUCAUAUAUAUAUGGGGCCAAUCAACAUAAAAAUAAUAAUUACCAUUUAUUAAGUAAUAUAAUGUAUGAAGAUUAUUAAAAUAUUUAAUUAUUCACUAAAGAAAUAAUAAUUAAAACAUAAUUACAAAUGAAAGUAAGUAAAUAAGGCUAAGAUAUUAUUUAAUUAAUAAAAAAGAAAAUUCUAAAAAGGAUAUUUUAAGCGUAUAAUAGAGUAUAGCAGCGGCUAUACUCUAUAAAUAGAAUAUUUUAGCAGUAUAGCCGAUCGGCUAUACUAUAGAUUUUAACCGUACCACCGGGCGGCUAUAGUCUUUAAAUAGAAUAAUAUAAAAGUAUAGCCCCGCGGCUAUACUCUAUAAAUAGAAUAUUUCAAACGUAUAGCCGCUCGGCUAUACCCUUUGAAUAGCAUAAUUUUCAUUUCUCUUUUCUAAUUACUUUAUUAAGUAGUUAUGUUUUAAUUACUAUUUACUUAGUGAAUAACUAGUAUUUAAAUAUUUUAUUAAAUAAAAAAAUUAAAAAUAAUAAUUACUGUUUAUUAAGUAAUAUAAAUUAUGUAGUUAAUUAAAAUAUUUAAUUAUUCACUACAAAAAUAAUAAAUUAAAACAUAAUUACAAAUGAAAAUAAUUAAAUAAGGCUAAGAUAUUAUUUAUUUACUAAAAAGAAAUUUUAAAAUAAAAAUUUGUUGGACCUAAAGAUACUAAACUUAUAUUUUUUUAUUUUUUUAAAUCUUUUGCCACGAAGUUUCAUCGGCACAGGUCUAUCCUGGCGAAAUUUUCCCAAUUAGACAUCUACCGACGACAUUUUGUCGGCUAGGAAAUUUCGUCGGGAGAGUUUUUUUUAAUUUUAUUUUAAAAUUAUAAAUUUUUUAAACAUAUAAAAUUAGUUUCUUUACUUUUAUUUUUUGGCCAACUUCUUUAAAUAUAUGCAAUUACGUGAAUCCAAGUCUCGAACCAAAAACCCAAGCUUCCGAAAUUGUUCCAAAACCUUUCUCAAGCCUCGAACCUUAACCAUAAGCUUACUAAGGAGUAGGUACUUUCUCUUCUUUUCUAAUGUGGGGCUCAAGUUCAUGUAUUUCAAUCAAAUUCCAACAAGCAGUUGAUAUUAUUGAAUCGCGUUGUGACUCAAAGUAAACUUGUCUUCUUUUUCACACAUACAUAACGCAUGAAAUUUUUUAAUACUAAUUUCUUCUUUUUCCGAUGAUUUGUUACAGUUCAUGUACAACUUUGUGCUAAAAUAUUAAAACUAUGAGAGAAUAUUUGUUUGUGGGAAUUUUUUGUGUAUUCUUCUCCUUGUAGGAGGUCAUAUUUAUAAUACAACGAAACCUGAAUGUGAAGUAAAUAAAAAAUUCCUAAAUCUAUUUGCAGUAGGAAAUCAGGAAUUAAAGUAAAUCAAUUACAAUUAUAAUAGGAAUUCUUGGUGUGUAAGGAAAGUAAGUCAAUAUCCACAAGUCACGCCAACACUCCCCCUCACGUUGGUGCAUAGAUGUCGCCAAUGCCCAACUGAUCUAGUGAAUUGUGGAAUGCUUUACUGAAAAUCGCAUUUGUCAAAAUAUCCGCCAAUGGAUCCUCGGAUUUCACAAAAUGCGCAAUCUGGUCCAUGUGUCGGGGUCGUUAGUCGAGAAGUCAUAAUCUGUGCAGCGGAAGAUGCAUAUGAUACAGUUGAGUAGGAAUUGGGAUCGGAAUAUGAGCCUGAGUCGAGGCCGGAGUCAGAGUUGAAAUCGGGAUCAGGGUCUAAAUCAGAGCCAAAUUCGGGGUUGGGGUCAUCAUCAGAGUGGGGGUCGGGGUCGUCUUCGGAGUUGGGGUCGGGGUCGGGGUCGAGGUCGUCUUCGGAGUCGGGGUCGGGGUCGUCUUCGGAGUCAGGGUCGGGGUCGUUGUCGUCAUAGUCAGAGUCGGGGUCGGGGUCGUCAAAAGAGGAUCCUGAUUCUGGAUUAGGUUCGGGGUAAAAGUCUGCAUCUAUAGGAGCGGAGCCAUCUGGGCACUCAACUCAACGAUGGUUGGUGGAGAAUGAGAGAAUGAGUCGGUGGUGCUACCUCUAUGAGGGUUGAAAAAAUCAUCAACCCCCAUAACACUAAAUAAAAUAAUCUCUAUUACAAUAGGACAAAAUAUAAUUGGUAAGUAACCAAAAUUCUAAUGAAAUAAGGACUCGCCAACACUCCCCCUCAAGUUGGGCAAAGAUAUUUCGCAGGCCCAACUUGACAAGCGAGUCACAGGACACCAUACUUGAGAAACACCAAUUGUAGAGAAGAUCUUUUAGUCAACCACGAGUGAAACAAGUGACAAACUAAAACAAAGUUCACAGCGGAAAUACAAGAGCAAACCCUAAAAAAUAGGGCACAUAGCAAAACACAGAAACCCUGUGAGCACGGGUGUAGAUAAGGCAGAACACAGAAACCCUGUGAGCACGGCAGUAGGUAAGGCAGAACACAGAAACUGUGUGAGCACAGCAAUUGAUAAGGCAGAACACAGAAACCCUGUGAGCACGGCAAUAGGUAAGGCAGAACACCGAAACCCCAUGAGCACGGCAGUGGCAACAAUAAAUUCUUCCAUAUAAACUUUAGCUAAUUCACUCAGACACAACUUCUCUUCAAUCUUCCUCUCCCCUUGAAGAGAAGGGGUCGUCGGAGUCAAGAAAUAAGCAACAUCUUCAUGGAAAUAUGUCAAGGUAAUUGGGAUAGGUCAAUAAACAUAUCCCUUUCACUCCUCCUCCCCCCCCCCCCCCCCUUCAAGGGGGGAGAAGAGCACUUAAAUUUCAAGAAGAACACAAGCACAGGUCCCUAGAUCGAACUAGGCUCUGAUACCAUGCUAAAAUAUUAAAACUAUGAGAGAAUAUUUGUUUGUGGGAAUUUUCUGUGUAUUCUUCUCCUUGUAGGAGGUCAUAUUUAUAAUACAACGAAACCUGAAUGGGAAGUAAAUAAUAAAUUCCUAAAUCUAUUUGCAGUAGGAAAUCAGGAAUUAAAGUAAAUCAAUUACAAUUAUAAUAGGAAUUCUUGGUGUGUAAGGAAAGUAAGUCAAUAUCCACAAGUCACGCCAACACUUUGUUCUUUGGAUUAUGAAUCCGGAAAGAUCUUUUGGAUGAGUAACUACAUAUGCAUUUUGUCAGGACAUAUACUGGGAAGGAGGAAGGAAAUUUGCACUUUCAAGCUUGGCACCUCUUGCUUCUGUCCCAAGCAGAAGAGCAAUUCAAGCACGAUACACAGGCCCUUCCAAGAAAGAAGUUGCAGCACUUGUGAAACUACACAACAGGGUACUUGCCAAAGUCCUCCUAAAGCUGAAAAAAGAGCUCCCAUGACUGAAAUACUCAAACCUUAAUUUCUACACUUACCUAAAAGAAAGAAUUAAUCAUCCAUCAAAUUAUGGUAUACUUUCUGUUAUUUGGUUUUUUCAUACCCUGAUAAGUCAUGUCACCUUUCUAAUGUUCCUUUUGUUUUUAUUGUGUUGUAAAGGUUUCAGGAAGGAAAGACGGCGUGCUGUGGCUCUGGUGCAUACCGAGGACUUUAAUUUGGUGUAAUUACAUGUGCUGCUGUGCAUGCUAUAUACAUGGUGAAUAAGCAAAUUACUUUUACUUUUGGCUUGAAUAUUCGUCCUUCAUUAUUGUUUUCAAUCACUUUACGUAUGUGGUUAGCGCAGCAACUGUAUAGACAUUUCAAAGUCUGUGGGCCCUCUGUAUGACUCCAAGAAACUUCAUUGUACUACACAAAUUUCCGAUGGUUUCUUUUUCCACAAGCAAAUCAACAAGACCUAUAUAUAGGCGUGAAACACAAGAGAAGGUUAUACAAAGCAAACCAGAACUAGAAUGGCAAGUUCAAGGCUUCAUAUAUUCAUCCUGGCUUUCUGUGCAAGCCUUCUUUUUCCAAGCAACUGUAGCCAUGGCGAUUCCGGGCUUCAGGAGAAACGUGCAGCGUUGUUCAUCUUUGGUGAUUCACUAUUUGAUGUUGGAAAUAAUAACUACAUUAAUACUACCAUUAGCUUUAAGGCAAAUAACUGGCCAUAUGGAGAAACCUUCUUCAAGUACCCCACCGGUAGAGCUUCCGAUGGCCGUCUAAUCCCUGAUUUCAUUGGUAAGAUGUUGUAAACAAUACUAAAAGUUUUAUAUAUGUUCUUCAACGCUAGUGAUCAUGCACAUCUCUGAUUGCUCAAUUUUCCAUUAAUGAUGCAGCUAAGUAUGCAAAGUUGCCAUUCAUACCACCAUAUUUACAACCUGGCUUCAACAACUAUACUUAUGGGGUGAACUUUGCAUCUGCUGGGGGUGGUGCUCUAUCUGAAACUCAUCAAGGAUUUGUAUGGGAUCCUCCUUAUAUAUCAGAAUUUUGAUUUUAGGUUUGAAAAAGCAUGUUGCAUUGUCCAUAUAUGGGGCUGUAGAAGGUGUGAAACCAAAGUUGAGGGCACCCUUUGGAAGCCAUGACUUGCUGACUUGAUCAAUCUCUUCUGAGGAGGGAAUCAUUGUCGCAAUGUUAAAUUCUAAAUGAAAAACCAUACAUUCUGUUUGGUGGACUCUGCCCCAAAACAGAGACUUCAAAAUGUGUACAUUUUAUCUUAAAAUAUUGUACAUGUAAUGAAGCAACUUCAUGUAUAAAUUAUAUAUUCUCUAUCUCUUUAUUAGCAUAACUAUAUAUUUCUUGUUUUCAGGUGAAAGACCUUAAAACUCAAGUGAGUUAUUUCAAGAAUGUCGAGAAGCAGUUAAGGCACAAACUAGGUGAUGCCGGAGCCUACACAUUUCUAUCAGAAGCUGUUUACUUGAUUAGCAUUGGAAUCAAUGAUUAUUAUACCCCAUUCCUAACAAAUUCAAGUUUGUUUGCGUCCCACUCACAUGAAGAAUAUGUUGGCAUGGUGGUUGGCAACCUGACAGAUGUGAUCAAAGUAAAUACAUUUAUGUCUACUUUCUCAAGAAUAUACAACACGCAUGAUUCGUUAAUAUUCUUCUUCUUUCUAAAUUUCGGAUGAGUUACUUCAUACACAUUAUUUCAGGAAAUAUACAAGAAAGGAGGAAGGAAAUUCGGGUUUGCAAAUGGGGUUCCUCUCGGUUGUAUACCUUCCAUGAGAAUACUUAAACAAGAAAACAUAGGUGCCUGCUCUGAAGAAGUUACAGCACUAGUGAAACUACACAGCAGAGUAGUUGCUAAAGGCCUCCUAAAGCUGAAGAGCCAGCUGCAUGGAUUCAGAUAUUCAAAUGCAAACUUCUACACUCCCUUAACUGAUACAAUUAAUAACCCAUCAAAAUAUGGUAUAUAUAGACAGAGAACCUCCUCCUUUAGUUUUGGCUUCUCUUAUUCGUUUUAAUGUUCCUUUUGUUAUUGUUGUUAUGCUGUUAAGGUUUCAAGGAAGGAAAGAUGGCAUGCUGUGGCUCUGGUCCAUACAGAGGAAUUAUGAGCUGUGGUGGGAAGAGAGGUUCAGAGUUUCAGUUAUGUGACAAUGUUACUGAAUAUGUCUUUUUUGACUCUAGCCACCCAACAGAAAGGGUUUACCAGCAAAUAUCCAAGUUAUGGUGGAGUGGAAGUCCCAAUGUGACUAAGACGAGCAAUAAUCUAAAGGAGCUGUUUGAAGUUUAGUUUCAUAAGCAAUUCUGCAUUUUGCAGACAAUUUCUGUUUCAAAAUAAAUUGAACUUUGAUGCAUCAUCUUUGUAAAUAAGUAUUCGAAACUUAAUAUACGUAUUUGAUGCUUUAUGUAAUAUAAAUCUUGGCACCAAAAUAAAUGAAGAAAAAGUUGUACUAAAUCCUGUAAGUCAGAACUAAGUGCCUAUACUUUAGUAGGCCAAUAGACAUUAAGCAAAUGAUGAAGGGGGUCUUUUCCAUAUUCUGUUUUCAGGUGAUUUUUUUAAUGUUCCAUAGAGGUCAAGAUCAUCAUGAAUGGGGGAAUUUAGAAACUUUAGGGCGUGUUUGAUAGGGAUGACUAUACUAGACUAGCAAAAUGCCUACAUUUCAUGUGCAUUCAAGGCAUAAUAUGGAUAUGUUGCCUAACUUGGGGGAAGAAUAGGGACUAUCUAUGAGAGGUUGAUGACUAAAACUUAUCCCCCCUAAUCCCCUUGAAAAUGGUAGGAUCCUGAGGGAUAAGUUUUAGUCAUCAACCUCUUAUGAUAGUCCUCCUUCAUCCUCCGAGUUAGACAACAAUAUCUAUAUUAUGCCUUGAUUGCACAUGAAAUGUAGCCACUUUACUAGUCUAGUCUAGUCUGAUCUUUCAAAAAAAACGAGGCCUAAAAUACCAAAACUAUUGCCUACACUAGCCAAAACUAACAAUACCAACAACACUAGCCUUUGUGAAGAAUUACAACUCAAUUAAUGUAUGUUUGGAAACCAAGAAAAAGAGAGAAAACCAAGUGAAGCAGGGUUCAAUUUCUUGCUUUUAUUAACCCAAACAAAGACGUACAUCAGAUUCAGUUAUAUAGACUACAGGUUAACCACAACUAGCUUAACAGAUCUCAAUCUCUAACCAUGAACUAACUCUGGUUUAGUUAGUUGAAUUACAUUGACUUUGACUUCUAGAAGCAUUGGCUGCUUUUCAUGAGAAGAUUCUUUGGAGGAAGGCUGCUGAUGAAACUGAAAUUGCAAAUUUUCCAUUUAUUGACUUUUAGUUCCCAAACUUUGCUGCAGCUAUUUUUUUUCAUUGGAUUAUGAAUGGUCAACUUAGCAAAAGUUUCUACUGUAUAAUCUAUUAUUUUGUGAUGUGAUGUGAUCGAAGCUAAUAAUAGCUGAAAACGUCUUAUCCAAGUUGAUAAUAAAGAAAAAAAUUUCUGACUGUAUCAAUGUAUCAUGCUAAGCAUCAACCUACUCUCAUUUGUGUCAUCUUUUUCCUUUUUAGUUGACUUUCCUUGUCUUUUCUUUAUGUUAUCUGGACCAGGAAGUAAUUUCCUUAUUAAAUUGAAUUGAAACAGAGAAAAAGAUGAUAUAAUGCAAAGUUAUACAGAACAUACUGGAAUGGCAUCUUUCAGGUUUCAAAUCUAUAUAUUGGCUGUCUGUGCAGGCCUUGUUAUUCAAAGCAGCUGCAAUGGCCAUUCUGGGCUUCAGAAAAAACAUGUAGCCCUGUUCAUCUUUGGUGAUUCACUCUAUGAUCCUGGAAAUAAUAACUACAUAAAUACCACAAAAGAUUUCCAGGCAAAUUGGUUGCCAUAUGGUGAAACAUUCUUCAGGUACCCAACUGGUAGAUUUUCUGAUGGGCGUUUAAUCCCAGAUUUCAUUGGUAAGAACCAUCUUGUGAGUAAUAUUGUUUCUUUCAGUCAUUUCUUCAAACACCUUUGCUUUUAACUGACAGCAACUGAUAAUACAAACACAUGAUACAACUAACUAUUAAAUUUACAUUCAUGUUUCAGCUGAGUAUGCCAAGUUGCCAAUUAUACCAGCGUAUUUACAACCUGGGUUGAAAGACUAUACUUAUGGGGUGAACUUUGCUUCUGGUGGAGCUGGUGCUCUAGUUGAAAGCCAUCAAGGAUUUGUAUAUGCUCUGGCUUAUUAUAUGUUUUACCUUGUUAAGACUUCUAGUUACAGUUGCAGCAUCUCAAUAUGUAUUUUCGGUAAUUCGUGUGCUUUUCGUUAGCAUGAUUUGAUUAUGUGAUCUGUUGUUUUCAGGUGAUAGACCUUAAAACUCAACGAAGUCAAUUCAAGAAGGUGGAGAAGCAGUUGAGGCAGAAACUAGGUGAAGCAGAAGCCUACACAUUGCUGUCCAAAGCUGUCUACUUAAUCAGCAUUGGAAGCAAUGACUAUUCUAUCCCAUUAGCAACCAAUACCAGCCAUGACGAAUAUGUUGGCUGGGUUAUUGGCAACCUGACAAGUUGGAUCAAAGUGAUCUUAUCUUCUUUUUCACACAUACAUAUCACGCGAAAUUUUUUAAUUCGAGUUUCUUCUUUUUUCUAUAACUUGUUACAAUUUGUGUACAACUUUGUGUCUUCUGAUUAUGAAUCCGGAAAGAUCUUUUGGAGGAGUGAUUUGAUAUACAUUUUGUCAGGAUGUAUACAAGAAAGGAGGCAGGAAAUUUGGAUUUUCAAGCUUGGCCCCUCUUGCUUCUGUGCCAAGCAUGAGAGUGAUUCAACCAGGAAACACAGGCCCUUCCGGGGAAGAAGUUACAGCACUUGUGAAACUACACAAUAGACUACUUUCCAAAGUCCUCACAAAGCUGAAGAAAGAGCUCCAAGGAUUCAAAUACUCAAAGCUUAAUCUCUACACUUACGCUAAAGAAAGAAUUAAUCAUCCAUCAAAAUAUGGUAUGCAUAGCCAUGACACCUUCUCCGUUACGUUAUAGUUUCUCUUAUUUGGUUUUGUCAUAAGCUGAUAAUUCAUGUCUCCUUUUUAAUUUUCUUUUUCGUUAUUACUGUGCCGACUCGUAAAGGUUUCAAGGAAGGAAAGGCGGCGUGCUGUGGCUCUGGCCCAUACGGAGGAAUUUAUACCUGUGGAGGGAAGAGAGGUGUGACUGAGUAUGAGUUAUGUGGCAAUGUUACUGAGUAUGUCUUUUUUGACUCUGUCCAUCCAACUGAAAGGGUUUACGAGCAAGUGUCCAAGUUAUGGUGGGGACAAAACUUGAAGGAGCUCUUUGAAGUUUAGGCAAAAUAUGGCCUGAUAGUUUCAUAAGAAAUUGAGCAAUUUGUCGACACAAUUUCCGUUUCGAAGCAAAUUAAAAGUUUGAUGGAGCCAUGGGCACAUGGGCAAGUCUCCAAGUUAAGGUGGAGCCAUACUCCCAAUGUCCCAGGGCCUUCUUUUAAUUUGAAAGAGCUACUUGAAGUUCAGAAACCUAUGGAUUUGUUAGUUUCAAUAAGCAAGCACCUGUGAAUUUGCACAGACAAUCUCAGUUUAAAAAUAAAUUAAGGUUUGAUAUAUCAUCUUUGUAUUAAUGUAUUCACAACUCAAAAAUAGAUGUGAUAGAUGUUUUCUGCACUCCAAUUCUUGAGACCAAAAGAACCAAAGAUUAAAUUCUACUCAAUCCUGUAAGGGAUCCUAUGGGGGGAAGAUAGAAGCAAAGCCAAGAACUAGGUGCUCUGUUAAGUAGGGCAAUCGAUCGACGUUAUGCAAAUGGUGAAGGUGGUCUAUUUUGGUUGCUUGUUUCUCAAUUUGCUUUGUUAUAUUUCCCUAGUUCCGGAGAAUUGCAGGCGAUUCUACUGAUGUGUACAAUAUUCCAUAGAGGUUAAGGUCAAAAUGAGCGAAGGAAAGUAAUAAUUUUGGAAAAUGACCUGGUUAAUUACAUUUAAAAGUUGUUAUUUGCUUUUUUAGAGGUUCUAGUGCUUUUUUAGAAGUUUUACAGGAUCAUCUUAGAAACCAGCUCUUCUCUCAAUUUAAAGAGGUUACAAUGUUUUAAACAUACAGAACUGAAACAGAGGAGAAGAUUGCUGGUUUGAUUGUUAGUCCUUCAAACAUUAUUUUCAAUCAUGUUUACAUAUAUGUGGUUAGCCUUCUAUUAUGGAAUUACAACACACUAAGAAGGACAUCAAACAUACUCAAAAACAUACUCAAUUAUGGAAAGCCUUCUAUGUCGAUGGGCCAUUCUUAAUCAACGUCUCACCUUUACCUGCUUAGAUAUCAAUACAAAAAGAAAUCAAUCAUCAGAAAAUAUCUCAACUUCAAAACAACUGGAGAAAAUCUGAGAUGUGUUUUAUAUGGAUUGCUAAAAUUUCAGAAAAGCUGGUGACCUGGUGUUCCGCAAGAAACAUUGACUAAUCUCACAACCUCUCAAAUUGGAGUACAUAUGCAUCGUAGUAAUGAUUUCAUUCAAGAACAACUUUUGCGCCAAGAGCUUUGAGCUUCUCUAUUAGUUGCUCUCCUUCUUCCUUUGAUAAUCCUUUCUUUAGCACAGAUGGCGCCUUCUCCACUAAGUCCUUUGCUUCCUUGCGGCCUAAGUCAGUGAAGCUCCUUACCUCCUUGAUCAGUUUAUUUUAGAAGCUGCCUCAAAUGACUCCAAUUUCAAUUCGAAGACAGUCUUUUCUGGUUUCUUCUCCUCUUUAGCUGCUGCUGGUCCCUUCAAUGCCAAUCCUAAUCCAGCAGCUCCUGGCUUCAUGACUCCUACAAUUGGUGGUUCCUUCAUUCCCUUUUUUGUGAAGAUGAAGGAGUAGAGCAUCAACAAGCAUCUCAAAGUAUUUGGAUGCAUUUGCUAUGUGCACACAUUCCAAAGGAGAAAAGACACAAGCUAGAAGAAAAAUAUGAAGUUGGUAUAUUCCUGGGAUACAGUAACCAAUCUAAAGGAUAUCGAGUCUACAAUCCCAUAACGAAGAAGUUCAUGAUAAGCUGAGAUAUUGAGUUUGAUGAAUCAACAUCAUGGAAUUGGGAGGAAGAAAAAGUUGAAAGAAAAAGUCUUACUAUAACACAACCGUGCAGAGAGAAAACUAAAGAAACUCCAGGUAUGACUCCUCCACCUACAACAACUUGUCCAUCUAUACAACAUGAAGUUUCUCCAGAACCACAACAAAGAACUAGAUCACUCCAAGAUAUAUAUGAAACUUGCAACUUCAUAACUAUAGAACCAGAAAGUUUUGAAGUUGCAGUAAAAGAAGAAAUCUGGAGAAACUCUAUGGAAGAAGAAAUCAAAACAUUUGAGAAAAACAAAAUGUGGGAGCUCGUUGAUCGCCCACAAGACAAGGAGAUCAUUGAGGUUAAAUGGGUCUAUAAGACCAAAUUUAAUCCUGAUGGGUCAAUACAAAAACAUAAAGCAAGGCUAGUAGCUAAAGGCUACUACAACAGCUGGGCACAAACUACAACGAGACAUUUGCACCAGUUGCAAGACUUGACACUAUAAGAGCACUGGUAGCACUAGCAGCUCAAAAGAAAUGGAGAAUUUAUCAGCUAGACGUAAAGUCUGCAUUUCUAAAUGGAGAGCACGAAGAAGAAAUACAUGUGGAGCAACCACAAGGAUUUAUUGAGUAAGGAGGAGAAGAUCAAACACUUAAGCUAAAAAAAAGCCUUGUACGGACUCAAGCAAGCACCACGAGCAUGGAACAACCGCAUAGACAAGUACGUCAUCAACGCAGGCUUCAGGAGGAGCAAAAAUGAGCCUACUCUCUACCCCAAAACUCAAGGUAACUCCGAUAUCUUGAUCAUCUCUCUGUAUGUGGUUGACUUCAUCUACACUGAAAACAAUGAAGAAAUAAUUCAAAAGUUCAAAAAAGUUAUGAUGAAAACAUUCGAGAUGAGUGACCUUGGGUGGAUGCACUACUUUUUGGGCAUUGAGAUAAACCAAGAAGAAGAUGGAAUCUUCAUAUGCCAGAAAAAAUACAUUGAGAAUCUAUUGAAGAAGUUCAAAAUGUACGGGUGCAAGACUGUGGCUACUCCAGUUAUCACCAAUGAGAAAUUAAGAAGAGAAGAUGGAUCAAGUACAACAGAUGAAUGAGUUUAUUGAAGUCUCAUUGGGAGCUUACUAUACUUGACAACAAAAAGACCCGACAUCAUGUACGCCACAAGCUUACUAUCAAGAUUUAUGCAAAAUUCAAGCCAGAUGCACUAUGGAGCAGCAAAGAGAAUAUUAAGAUACUUGCAAGGCACAAUUGACUAUGGCAUUUGGUAUAAGCCCACUACAGAUCCAAGACUAUUUGGCUACACAUACAAUGAUUGGGCUAGAUCGGUGGAUGGCAUGAAAUGAGGCUAUGCAUUUACAAUUGGGUUUGGAAUAUUUUCAAGGUCAUCAAGAAAAUACCGUGGCACAAUCAUCAACAGAAGCCAAGUACAUAGCAGCAACAAGUUCAGCAUGCCAAGCUAUAUGGCUCAGAAGAAUAUUUGAAGAUAUGGGAGAGUGCCAAACAGAAGCUACUGAAAUACUUUGCAACAACAAGUCUGCUAUAGCAAUGCCGAAAAAUCCAGUGUUCCAUAGUAGGACAAAACAUAUAGCCAUCAAGCAUCACUUUUUAAGAGAAGUCUCAGCAAACAAAGAAGUUGAGCUCAAGUAUUGUAAAACAGAGGAGCAAAUCGCAGACAUCUUCACUAAGGCACUUCCAAAACCAAAAUUCGAACUGCUACGAAACGUGCUCAGAAUAACAUAAAUGUGCAUGAAGGAGGAGUGUUAAACAUUAGCACAUUUGUGUGAUAAAACUAGAAAAUUCUAGAAUAAUUGAGAGAAUUACCAAGUAAAAGUUGGUUAACUCUUACUAGAAUCAUCCUAAUAAUUAUCUAUUGUAAUUAUAACUAGAAAAAUCUAGAAUUAAAGGACUAACUUGUGGCUGAAAAUGCUUUAGAUUUGUCCAAAGAAAAUUGCCGACAUAGCAUCUGUAUAAAUAACCAUGCAGCCCACUCAAAGUAAUCAAGCUGAAAACUACCAGUUGUUCUAUACCAGCUGUCUUAUAUCCAACAAGCCUUGUACCUUUCCUACUUCAACCAAUCAAAUAAAACUACUUUGUUACUUUGUUACUUUAUAUACAUUUCAAAAUCUGUGGCCACUCUGUAGGACUAAAAGAAACUUCAUUAGACUACACUAAUUUCCAAUGUUCCACAAGCAAAUCAACAACACCUAUACACGGGCAUGAAACAGAGGAGGUAAAUGUCAACAUUUUCAGAUACACGAUUUCAAGUAAAGGAGGCUGCAGCUAUUUUCUUUUCAUUGGAUUAUGAAUGGUCAACUUAGCAGAAGUUUCUUUGUGAUUCAAUUGAUACUGAAGACAAAAAAAUUCUCACUGUAUCUUUUUCUUUUUUAGUUCACUUUCCUUGACUUUUCUUUAUGUUAUCUGGAAUAGGAAGUAAUUUCCUUAUCUUUUCCUUAUCCCAAUAUGUGCCUUGAAAAGUUUCUGCCAUCUAUUAAAUUGAAUUGAAACAGAGGAAAAGAUUAUAUAAUACAAAGCUAAACACAACAUACUGGAAUGGCAUCUUUCAGGUUUCAAAUCUAUAUCUUGGCUUUCUGUGCAGGCCUUGUUAUUCAAAGCAGCUGCCAUGGCCAUUCUGGGCUUCAGAAAAAACAUGCAGCCCUGUUCAUCUUUGGCGAUUCACUCUAUGAUCCUGGAAAUAAUAACUACAUAAAUACCUCAAAAGGUUUACAGGCCAAUUGGUUGCCAUAUGGUGAAACAUUCUUCAGGUACCCAACUGGUAGAUUUUCUAAUGGGCGUUUAAUCGCAGAUUUCAUUGGUAAGAACCAUCUUGUGAGUAAUAUUGUUUCUUUCAGUCAUUAACACCUUUGCUGCUAACUGACAGCAACUGAUAAUACAAACACAUGAUACAACUAACUGUUAAAUAUUAUGAUACACAUGAUACAGCUGAGUAUGCCAAGUUGCCAUUUAUACCAGCAUAUUUACAACCUGGGUUGAAAGACUAUACUUAUGGGGUGAACUUUGCUUCUGCUGGAGCUGGUGCUCUGGUUGAAACCUUCCAAGGAUUUGUAUAUGCUCUGGCUUAUUAUAUGUUUUCCCUUGUUAUGACUUUUAGUUACAGUUGCAGCAUCUCAAAAUGUAUUUUUGGUAAUUCGCGUGCUUUUCGUUAGCAUGAUUUGAUUAUAUUAUCUGUUGUUUUCAGGUGAUAGACCUUAAAACUCAACGAAGUCAAUUCAAGAAGGUGGAGAAGCAGUUGAGGAAGAAACUAGGUGAAGCAGAAGCCUACACAUUGCUGUCCAAAGCUGUCUACUUAAUCAGCAUUGGAGGCAAUGACUAUUUUUCCCCAUUAGCAACCAAUACCAGCCAUGAAGAAUAUGUUGGUUGGGUUAUUGGCAACCUGACAAGUUGGAUCAAAGUAAUCUUAUCUUCGUUUUCCACACAUACAUAGCAGGCGAAAUUUUUUAAUUCGAGUUUCUUCUUUUUUCUAUAACUUGUUACAAUUUGUGUACAACUUUGUGUCUUCUGAUUAUGAAUCCAGAAAGAUCUUUUGGAGGAUUGAUUUGAUAUACAUUUUGUCAGGAUGUAUACAAGAAAGGAGGCAGGAAAUUUGGAUUUUCAAACUUAGGCCCUUAUGCUUCUACGCCAAGCAUGAGAUUUAUUCAACCAGGAAACACAGGCCCUUCCCGGGAAGAAAUUACAGCACUUGAGAAUCUACACAACAGACUACUUUCCAAAGUCCUCACAAAGCUGAAGAAAGAGCUCCAAGGAUUCAAAUACUCAACGCUUAAUCUCUACACUUACGCUAAAGAAAGAAUUAAUCAUCCAUCAAAAUAUGGUAUGCAUAGCCAUCCAUGACACCUUCUCCUUUUAAGUUAUAGUUUCUCUUAUUUGGUUUUGUCAUAAGCUGAUAAGUCAUGUCUCCUUUUUAAUAUUCUUUUUCGUUAUUACUGUGCCGACUCAUAAAGGUUUCAAGGAAGGAAAGGCGGCGUGCUGUGGCUCUGGUCCAUAUAGAGCAAUUAAUACCUGUGGAGGGAAGAGAGGUGUGACUGAGUAUGAGUUAUGUAACAAUGUUACUGAGUACGUCUUCUUUGACUCUGCCCAUGCAACUGAAAGGUUUUACGAGCAAGUGUCCAAGUUAUGGUGGAGCCAUAACUUGAAGGAGCUAUUUGAAGUUUAGGCAAAAUAUGGCUUGAUAGUUUCAUAAGAAAUUGAGCAAUUUGCAGACACAAUUUCCUUUUCCAAGCGAAUUAAAAGUUUGAUGGAGCCAUGGGCACAUGGGCAAGUGUUCAAGUUAUGGGGGAGCCAUACUUCCUAUGUCCCAGGGCCUUCUUUUAAUUUGAAAGAGUUAUUUGAAGAUCAGAAACCUAUGUAUUUUUUAGUUUCAAUAAGCACCUGUGAAUUUGCACAGACAAUCUCUGUUUAUAAAUAAAUUAUGGUUUGAUAUAUCAUCUUUGUAUUAAUGUAUUCACAAAUCAAAAAUGGAUGUGAUGGAUGUUUUCUGGAUUCCAAUUAUUGACACCAAAAGAACCAAAGAAUAAAUUCUACUCAAUCCUGUAAGGGAUUUUAUGGGGGAAAGAUAGAAGCAAAAGCCAAGAACUAGGUGCUCUGUUAAGUAGGCAUUUUGUGUAUAAACUCCCAAUAAUAAAUGAUUGCUGGUACCGUCUACGUCAAGCAUGAAAAAUAAUUUAACACGAAAAUAACUCUUGGUGGAUGAGAAAUGGUGAAAAUUUGUGUAAGAAUUUUAGAAUGAAAGUGGACGAGUUUUAGAUCCUCCAAUUUGUAGUAAGUUACCCUUUUUUUAGAGGUUCUAGUGUCUUUUCAAAGUUGUUAUUUGCUGACAAAAGUUAAUGAUCAUUGGGUCAUCUUAGAAACCAGCUCCUCUCAAAGGUUGCAAUAUUUUAAACAUACAGAACUGAAACAGAGGAGAAGAUUGUUGGUUUGAUUGUUAGUCCUUCAAACAUUAUUUUCAAUCAUGUUUACAUAUAUGUGGUUAGCUCAGCAACUAUGUUGUUGAGGUGGGCUACACUAACUGUGGUUUGAUCACUGAAGUUAACAUUUGUUUCCUUUUCGACAAGUAAAUCUCGAAAACCUAUUUAUGCAUUUGAAGCAGAGACAAAGUAAACCACAUUGCUAGAAUGGCAACUUCAAGGUUGCAAAUAUAUAUCCUGGCUUUUUGUGUAAGCCUUCUCAUUGCAAGUAGCUCUAGCCAUGGCCAUUCUAGGCACCAUAAAAAGCACAAAGCCAUGUUCAUCUUUGGUGAUUCCGUAUUUGAUGUAGGAAACAAUAACUGAAUGAACCCUACAACCUCUUUCCAGGAAAAGUUCUUGCCAUAUGAAGAAACCUUCUUCAGUUACCCAACUGGUAGAUUUUCCGAUGGCCUUCUAAUCCCAGAUUUCAUUGGUAUGACCCUUUAAAUACUAUUUGUUUAUAUCAUAUCUGACCAAGCAACUAGAAGCAAAUCUAAGCAAGGCAAAGAGUCCCACAUUGGAAUAUUACAAGAUGUGUAGACUCCCCCUCAUCUAUAAAAGGAGACCAUUCUCCACUUAGGGAGGGAUCUCUGGGCUGGACUUUAUCUUUAGUCAUGGGCUUCUCCCUUCUUCCCUUUAUAUUUGGGUUCAACCCCAUGUACAAAUGUAAACACAUACAUUAUUAUAGUGAGAAUAUACUUCCCCGUGGACGUAGCCCAUUCAUUAAGGGUGAACCACGUAUAUCUUGUCUUCUGUAUAUUUAUCACUUGCCCAAAUCCUCACACACUUGGUGAAAGUCCUCACCACCUUCACCCAUCAUCCAUCACACAUCAUCACUAAGUUGGGCUCAAAAGUGCCGAAUCAUUUUUGAGCGUCAACAGUUUGGCGCCGUCUGUGGGAAUCGACACAAGAAGCCUUUGUCGUUCUCCCUUCCUUCAGUGUCCUUCGGUACCCUUUCAAUCAUUGCCUUUUAGCUUAUCGUUUAGCACCAUAUAUGCAGAAGCCACCAUUGGAUCUCAAGGAACAAAUAUGCCGAAGACAUGUAUCUGCUGAAGCAACCCACCUUUCAGUCACUUUGAAGAGUCUCAAUUUGGGGGUGGCCUAAUAUUCCAAAUGCACCAAGGAUAUCACCAUGCAUGGCUUGAACAUGCCCAAGAAAAAAUUGCUCCAAUAUGAAGGAUGCCCACGUGCAUCCUCACCACAAGAUAAGAUUUCUCUUUUUAUAUAUAAAUAUUGUAUACAGGCAUGCAAUAUUUAAAUAAUUCAUUGCACAAUCCUAUUCAACAAAUAUGAAUAUUACAUAUGAAUAAUAGGAGCUGUCCAGAUUUGGUUACUUUGAAAAGUUCCAAUUUGGCAGUUGCCCAAUACUCCAAUUCACCAAAAUUAUUUUCUUCUUUCUGCAUGGCUUGCAUGGAGUACCCAUACUGAAGCCCACAUGCCAACCGAAUGGCAACCGCAGAAAACUCCACAUGCCUCGCACCAAGGUUGAUUGCUCAGAACCAUGUUCGGCAGCAACCAUACUUUGGCUUCUUCGGAAGCUUCAGAUCAGCAACUCUAGGAGCAGUUCCAAAAGCUCCCAAGUCUUCUGACUCAUGGUUGGUCUUUGUUCAAAACACUGAAUGGCACACCCAUUUGCUCAAGCCACCCAAGAGCCUUGAGAGACCACCAUCUCCAUGCCACUCGACCAGCCAUCGAACGGUAGCCAUGCCUCUGGUUUUCUCAAGACACCCACUUGGUCGAGGAUUCCGAACGGCACAUCAUGGCUUGUUGGAGCACAUGUGAACUCUCAGCCCUUUGAAGUGCACUAUGCGGGAUAUGCAUGAUGCCCAAGUCAAGACAACGGAGGCCACUUCUAAUUACAUGUAUGGGGCAUCUAUCUAUGGUACCGUGUGCAGGUCUGAAAGCUCACCAAAACUCCUUCGACAGACCUUUGCCGAUCGGCAGGAGCCUUGCCAAAAGCUGGAGCACACGGCACCUCCUCUUCCACAACCCCCUUGGAAAUUGCUGAACUGGAGAAGGCCCCCUUCUUUAUCAACCUUGCCGAAACAGCAACUUGCUGAGCCCUAGCAACUCUCUGAUCUUUGGCCCUUGCCGAAACUCACGUCACAAGAUUUCUCUCCUUUGGUCACGACCCCAACAACUCACACUUUUCACAAAGACCCAGCACCAUUGCCGAACGGCAAGAGCCAUGCUGCGAACUUGAGAGGCCCACAAAAAUCACAGUUUCAAGUCAAGCUUGCCGAACGUCCAAGAGCCAAGACUACGGCUGCCUUGCCCGGCUCACAAUCACAACAAACCACACCCUUGCCGAAGACUUGACCUCUUUAUAUUCGAACCCAAGCCACCACGAAGACCUUGCUGCUUGCCGAAGCAGCCUUCCUUCAGCAUAGCCAAUGACGAAGGUUCAAACACCUUGCCAAACGGUUGCUACGCAGCCCAAGCCAAAACCUCACAAGCCCUCUUGCCGAGGACACCACAGGCUCUCAAAAAUUUUCAAUCCACCCUUGCCGUUCGGCAAGGGCUGAGCAGAAGUAAAUGCUUGUUCACAAAAAUAGCAAAGGACCUAGCCGCCAUGGAAGUCGGACCCUCCUUUGCCAACGCUAUUAUGCUCUGAAGCCCCCUUUCCGAACCAGUUUCUAUGCCGAACGGUACGUUCUGUGCAGAUGGUGUUAAGAGCUCAAAGGCCACUGAGGAUACUUGCGAUCCUUGUCGAUCGGCAGAGUCGCUGAGCGUGGCUUGGUACUUGAAAAGUCUUCUCCCACCUUACCGAGCAGUCUUGGUUCACCCAAGAGAAACACAAAGGCCUCAAAAAAAAAAUUCACACGACCCUUGUCGUUCGGCAAGGGCUAUGCAAAAGUGGCGGAGAAGCUAGCGACCCUCCUUGCCCUUGUCAAAUCCAUAGGCUCCGAACGCCAAAAGCAAAAAACCCAAGAUUAUUAGCCAUCGGCAAUAGUCAUUGGUAAAAAUAAAAAGUCCAAGAUUAUUAGCCAUGGGCAAUAAUUAUUGGUAAAGAUCAUCGGCAUAUACGCCAAAAGAAAAAAUCCAAGAUUAUUAGCCAUCGGCAAUAACAAUUGGUAAGUUUGUUCUACAAGCUUCAUCAUUAGGCGCGAGCGAUGCCUUCGGUACCCCCGCCAUCAUUCGAUGAGAGCGAUGCCUUCGGCACGCACCCUGUCAUCACUCGACGAGAGCGAUGCCUUCGGCACCCUGCCAUCAUUCGGCGAGCCUGAUGCCUUCGGCACCCGGUCAUCAUUCGACGUGGGUGAUGCCUUCGGCACCCCGUCAUCAUUCGACGAGAGCGAUGCCUUCGGCACCCCGUCAUCAUUCGGCACUCUGCCAUCAUUCGACGAGAGCGAUGCCUUCGGCACUCCGUUAUCAUUCGGCGAGCGUGAUGCCUUCGGCACCCGGUCAUCAUUCAACGUGGGUGAUGCCUUCGGCACCCCGUCAUCAUUCGACGAGAGUGAUGCCUUCGGCACCCCGUCAUCAUUUAGCGCGAGCCAUGCCUUCGGCACCCCAUCAUCAUUCGACAAGAGCGAUGCCUUCGGCACCAUCCAUACCACACUACUUGGAAGAAGACUAAGGUGUUGCUCAGUCAGUGCAUUGAAAAUUACAAGUCCUCAACUAAGAAGUACCUCCUUACUUGAGAACUUAGGGGACUUCUGUUUAUACCAUAUCUGACCAAGCAACUAGAAGCAAAUCUAAGCAAGGCAAAGAGUUCCACAUUGGAAUAUUACAAGAUGUGUAGACUCCCCCUCAUCUAUAAAAGGAGACCAUUCUCCACUUAGGGAGGGAUCUCUGGGCUGGACUUUAUCUUUAGUCAUGGGCUUCUCCCUUCUUCCCUUUAUAUUUGGGUUCAACCCCAUGUACAAAUGUAAACACAUACAUUAUUAUAGUGAGAAUAUACUUCCCCGUGGACGUAGCCCAUUCAUUAAGGGUGAACCACGUAUAUCUUGUCUUCUGUAUAUUUAUCACUUGCCCAAAUCCUCACACACUUGGUGAAAGUCCUCACCACCUUCACCCAUCAUCCAUCACACAUCAUCACUAAGUUGGGCUCAAAAGUGCCGAACCAUUUUUGAGCGUCAACACUAUUGUUAGAAUUUAGGAGGUGUGAUGUGUGUUGCUCUGAUACUAUUGUUUAUGUGUGAAGGGGUUUAGGACAAUAGUUGAACAAAGUGAUUUUAUUAUAUUUGAGGAGAAUAGUACAUGGCUUGGUGUAGGCUGAUUGGCCUUCUUUAUAGCUUAUUGGCUUAUUGACCACCACACUUGGUUUAGAUUAGUUUUGGGCUAUUUGGCCCUUCACUGAGAUUGGUCAGCUUAUUGGCUCCCUAACAUAGGUAGCUUUGGGUAGCUCUUGGCUCCCUUAUAGUUUGGGAGUUCUUUUCGUUGGACUCC